UCCAGAGCCGAAACCUGAGCCCAUGCCUCACCCUGAACCGAAACCUGAGCCAAAGCCCGAACCUAAGCCUGAGCCAAAACCCAUGCCCGAGCCAAAACCUGAACCAAAACCCAUGCCCGAGCCUAAGCCGGAACCUAAGCCUGAGCCAAAACCUGAACCAAAACCUAAGCCCGAGCCAAAACCUGAACCAAAACCUAAGCCUGAGCCAAAACCCAUGCCCGAGCCGAAACCUGAACCAAAACCCAUGCCCGAGCCUAAGCCUGAGCCAACACCCGUGCCCGAGCCAAAGCCGGAACCUAAGCCCGAGCCGAAACCCAUGCCCGAGCCAAAACCCAAGCCCGAGCCCAAGCCGGAACCCAAGCCCGAGCCGGAACCCAAGCCCGAGCCGGAACCCAAGCCCGAGCCAAAGCCGGAACCUAAGCCCGAGCCAAAGCCGGAACCUAAGCCCGAGCCGAAACCCAAGCCUGAGCCAAAGCCCGAACCGAAGCCAAAGCCCGAGCCAAAGCCGAAGCCGGAACCUAAACCCGAGCCCAAGCCUGAACCAGAGCCGAAGCCGUAUCCUAAGCCGGAACCAAAACCCAAGCCAGAACCUAAGCCCGAACCCAAGCCCAAACCCGAGCCCAAGCCUGAGCCCAAGCCGAAGCCAGACCCGCCGCACAUCCCUCCCGCAGCUGACAACUGACGAAGUGGCCGCUAGCUGUUUUGUAUGACGUUGCAGAGUAUGGUAGUAUCUGAAUAAAACCGGCUGGACCGGGAGUUGCAUCAUCUAGAUUGGUGCUCGCUGCUGCUUGUUGUACCUAUUCUUUCUUUCCAUUGUAUUGAGCUGAGUACAUUACUAGUGCAGCUUCAUUUGUUCUUUGUACAUGCAUUAUUAUCCACGUGACUCGUUGCUACACAUUUUUGGUGUCAUGCUUGAUCUCUCGCCAUCUUUGCACGUAGGCCUGACGGCUCUUUUUCUAUCGCAUGCUCCCUCCGUCCCAAAUUACAAUUUAUUUUGACUUUUCUAGAUAUAUACUAACGGAGGGAGUAUGUUUCUACGUGUUUAUGGCAUCUGAACGACAGAACACAGACAUGUGCAGUAUAAGGAUUAUGACUAAACUCAAAUUUUUGUUCUACUUUAUAGUAAAAGAAAAAAAGCAAAAGUGGUGAUAGCAAGAAUAAUGAAAGAAACACGUGAUCGAGUCGAAAAGAACUUGGACCGAUUACAGCCCUAACUUUUCUAUCUCUCGACAGUCUAUAAAGUCAGACAGUCAGUCCAUCGAUUUGAUCUUUCAGCAUCAAAACAUGACCCACACCGGUCGCUUCCCCUCUCACGUUUUUUUUCUUCGAGCUGAUGUCAACAUUGGACAUAAAUGCAUGAUGGGCUUCCAAGAUCGAUGGUGGACCAACAUACUUCAUUUUUCUUCCAUCCUUCAGUUUCUCAACUAAUGCGAAUGCGACAGGCGAUUACAACUUGGAUAUAGACCAGUCGUCGUACAGAUACAUAAGGAUGCCGAUCAGUCUUGUGCCAUAAGAAACUUAACUUUGCUCUGCCUCCUCCUCCUCCUCCUUUCUUUCAGGUAGUGCAGGACUACAACUUGUUAAUGUUGUAUUGUUGUUGCCUCUCACGGUGGUUUCAUGAGGCCCUGAUGUGUUGAGGAUAAAUAAAAAUGCUGUCAAAUUUGGUGGUGAGAAAUUGAGAAUUGUAUAUUAUGUGUGGUUGUGUAAUUUAAAUUAGGUAAUAAUCUCUAAGACCAUUUGUAUAGUAUCAGGUUCCAAUCGCUGCCACUAAUUAGAGAAACAAAAACUUGAUUUGAAUCGUGAGGUUGAGGAUGGAGCAAGCAGCUAGCUGCCUGCCCAGGCAAGCUAGUAUUCCCAUUGGUUGCAGGUUUUUAUCAAGAUUCGAUAGUGAUGAACCAAAUGAAUGAAUGGUCCACCAAUACAGUACGUGUUGUCCUGCCCUGUCCUCGCAUGAAUGAAUGUGCAAGAUUCUCGCACUUCAUUCUAUCCCGAGUGUUGCCCUGCUGCUAUGCAAUAUUACCGUGCCAAAUAUACUAUUUUGGGGCGUUUGGAUACUUAGGUGCUAAACUUUAGCAGUAUCACAUCGGAUGUUCAGAUACUAAUUAAGAGGAUUAAACAUGAACUAAUUAUAAAAUUGCAGAACCUGUGAUAAUUCGUGAGACGAAUCUAUUAAACCUAAUUAAUCCAUCAUUAGCAAAUGGUUAAUGUAGCACCACAUUGUCAAAUCAUGAACUAAUUAGGCUUAAUAGAUUCAUCUCACGAAUUAGACUCCAUCUGUGUAAUUAGUUUUGUAAUUAGCCUAUAUUUAAUACUCCUAAUUAGCAUCCAAACAUCCGAUGUGAUAGGUGCUAAACUUUAGCGGGUGUAAACACCUCCUUUGUUGCAAAAGGACUUACUGCCACGAAAUAUAUUCCGUUGCAGCAAGACUUGUUGCCACGGAACCAAAGUAAUAGUCAUUAUAUUGUCACGGCAUCAGUCAUCGUAAUUGUUUUCUAAUACAAUGCUAAUUGGGUGGCAAUUAGAAUAAAUGUUGCAACAACAUGAAAUAUGCGGCAUAAACUUUGAAGCGUGCUACUAUUUGCCACUCCUGCCAAAGAUUUUGAUAUCGUUGCAGUUAGUAUAUAUUGCCGUGUUUGACCCUACUGUGAUGAUUUUUUUUUAUCAACGCAAAAUCAUGAUUUACGUCUAUUGUGUUGGUGGGUUACUUCUCUAUCUUCUAAUACGAAUGCAUAUACAUGAUCUUUCUAUUGGGCCUCCGGCCUCUAUUAAUUUUCUAUUAUGUGGGCUGAUACAGCUCAUACGCCUUCAGGCCAAAUCAGAUAGCCAACUAGGCCUUUUAGCCCACUUAGCCCAUACGCACACUAAUAACUGGCCCAUUAGGUCCCUUUCCCGUGGGCUGUGGCCUGUGAUAUCAGUCAGAUUUACACUUGCUACAGUUCCAAGUUCAUAUACCUUCCUUUUUUUAAGGCCAUAUACACAACUUUAGAGAUCUUGAGACCUGCCACAAAUGCAAACAUAUACCACCAGACAUGCAAAGGUAAAAGCAGCUAUCCAUUUCUCAUCAAUAAGAGUGAAAGGGAUCUGUACCCAACAAAAAUUGACUUUUGUCUUGGUUCAUGUACACAACCUUUGAUGCUUUUUGUUGAAGACAACGUUACCAUUAAUUAUUUUAACCAUCAUGCCUCCAGCUUUCAUUAAGAAUGUUAAUCUACUUACAAACAGCACGGAAGGAUGGUGUUCGUCUCCAAAUUAUCUUGAAAAGUUGCUGAGCUAAUUUGACGGUGCACGUGCCUAAUUGACUCCGACAGGCCAAAACAUAUAUAUAGAGGGAGAGAUCGAGUUGGGUAGAUUUCAAAAGUAACUUUUCGUGGAGGAACAGAAUAAACCGCACCGAAUCUUGUGCAUAGGCUGUCCAGAUUAUAUUCAGUGAACCGUCUCCUAAUUAUCUUAAAAAGGUGGCUAAGCUAAUUUGACGGUGUACGUGGUUAAUUGGCUCCGACAGGCAAACAUUAUAUAUAGAAUUGGAUAGAUUUCAAAAAUAAAUUUUGAAGGGGGAACAGAAUAAACUGCACUGAAUCUUGUGCAGUAUGCUGUCCAGAUUAUAUAUAAGUCAUACAAUCUUACUCCACUGCUGAUGAUGCAUUCUGUUUCUAUCAACCACGCAAUGCUUAAUAAGUGUCUGCUUUAGUUUGACAGCAACUUUAAUGUUUUUCUCAUUCAUCCAUCAGUGGUUAUUGGAAAAGUAAGGAAGAUGAGGAAGCUCCAAUUAAAAGCCAGCACUCGGGAAAAAAAAUAACUCACAUGUUCUAUAGUAACUAAACAAAAAUAAAGUUCGAUUACUUAAUUUAUGAUUUUUUUUGUUUCACUUUUCCGUGUUCGAUUACUUAAUUUGUUAUGGAAGACAGCUUUGGUCUGCUUUGUAAUUUCUUUUCUUCCAGCCCAUAUCCCUGUCUCUUUCUCUGGUACUAACAUGAAGUGUAGGUGUAUAAUAUUCUCACUCACUUCGAAUUAUUAGCACACUUGCUACCAGUUCCAUGUAAUGAAGGAAUGUUGUCUUAGAGAUUAAAAGAAUAAAUUGCCACUUUCGUAUAGAGAGACAUAUGGCCCUCUGUUGAAAAUUAUACUAGAAUUCUUUGCAAACCAAAAACGUAUAUAUGCUGCUAUACGAUAAUGGCACUGAUCUAAACAGGAAAAAAUUAGGUAUUGUUUGUUGCUAACAAAAGCUCUAGGUAUAGUAUUACUAGUAUAUAUGCGUAGCUCCCAGUGUCCACCUUUGCUGAGAAUUUCUUCAACAUUCGGUCUCGUUUAUCAAUCAAAAAGCUAUUCAUUAAGGGCCAUGUUACCUUGAUCUAUGCAUGCAUAUGAUUUUUGGGUAACAGAAUUUAAAACUCAUAACAAAUUUUGGUAUAUGUUCAAUCUUCUUUUUUAUUAUCAUAUAUGGACCCCCAAUAAUUGAGACCCUUUAAUUUCUUUACAAGACAUAAGAAAUUAAACACUUAAAUUUAAGAAGCCCCAUAUCUGUGUGUAUUACUGAAUGGUCAAUGCAUCAAUCUGAUUGAGGAUGCCAUGCGAUUUAAGUAAUACUAGUUGUCCGAUGGGAAUAUAUGCAAAAUGCUAGGAUAGCUUUAGACGUCAUGAUACAAAGUAUCUAACAUUUGCUUAUGUUUUCCUUGCAUGUCAAAGGUUCAUUGGGUGCAUCAUUUUACUCUCAUGCCGACAACUCAAUAUAUUCUUAGUUGUCUGAAGAGUGCACUCAUACUCUCAUCCUAAAAUAUGGCUGGCAUAUUCUUUACGUAGGUGAUGCGCACUUAACCAGAAGAUGCAACUACAAAGAAAAUCAUGCAACUGGCUACGAUUGCUACGAAAGAGAAGAUUUGAUGCUGUGGUCAAUAAUUGACUUCCAUGACAAAUUAGGAAAGGCAAUGAUGAUGCCCUCCAUAUUUAGCUUAAUAACGGCCUCUUUAAUGGUAGAGGAUAGGUCCUUUUAUCCAAUAAAUUUUGAAAUGUCAUAACAUAAAUUUCACUAAGCUAUUUUAUAAGGAGAAGCACGCAGUAGCCAUCAGAACAGUUCAUUACUAAAAUCAAACUGUUUGUUUCCCUUUUUCCAACUGGGAGCAGAACCAAAUAGGCCUAGGUGGCGAGCGCCAUGCUUGCCACCAAGCGAACGUGCCUAAAUUUUGUAUAUAGUUACUAUGUACUCUAAUAGAAUUAUUGUCUUUUAAAAUUUGCCUUGAUCUGGUGGCCGCCUGGCUAACAUCUUGUUACAAGGCACCGAUGCUCCACAUCAUCGAUAUGGCUUCUCGAAGGCACAAAGGAACGCACGUGUCUCAAUUCCAAGGGCAAAUCAACUUUGCUCUAAAAGUUGUAUCUAUCUCAAUGCUUGCAUAUCCCGGUAGUUUCAUGCAAUGUGGGCUAAACUUCUGCGUUCACACAUCUCAAAAAUUUUCCGUCCUCUAGUGCCUUUCACUUUGUCUCUGGAAUGAAAGAAGAAUGUGAGCUCUAAACCUUUAAAACGGAACUUAACAACGUAACUUAAGAAUAUACUGAGACGCUAGAUAUGUGCCUGACAUUGAUGAUUUUAAUCUCAUUAAUGUUGAUAGUUUGGUACGAUAAGCAUGGAUUCUUAAGCGUCAAAUAAAAAAAAUAACUGGAGUACAAAUAACACGACACAAUUUGAACUCAUAGUAACAUUUUUCUGCAUAUAUUUACUCUCUAGCUAUACACAAGAGAAUAGUUUGACUGCAAAUGUUGUAUCUAGUGUUUUACGUAUCAUAUUGACUGCAAAAUAAAUCCUCAGAAAAUCUGAGAUUAACAAAUUAAUCACACCAGAAAACAUGUGGUGAAAAUUAAACUAUAUGGUCAAAGUUGGUAAACAAACAAAUAAAGUCUUAUAAACCUUAGAGCUUAAUUAUAUGAUAUUAUAUUUGGCCCUGAAGAAUAUUUGGGCAGAAAAAAGCGUGCGUGCACAAAAUCAUAUAAGCUGUGUAAAAAUAUGCCAUUUUCUCGACAUCCACUCAUGUGCAGAAUCCAAUACCACAACCCAUCACUGGGGAGCAAAAUUAAGAAACUCGUAUACGUAUGCCGGAACAUGAAGGAAACUGUAGUCACAUCUGUCUCCUGAUGUCACAAAAGUCAAGAGGAAAAAGAAAAAAGGAGUGUGAGAAAGCUUCCCAGCCUACACACAUAUAGGUGCCGGGGACCUGAGGUGGGGUUUUGUUGGGGCUCAAAACUAAGCUCAUUAUCUAGGGUCAACAGCUUUCAAAAGCUACAUCUCCUUCCUUAAUUUUCUCCGACCCAAGUAUUGGGCAUUGCAUCCGUCCAUCCGGUCCAGAUCUCGAGAAUAAAUGGCACGUAGCCUCAAGAUCUUCUUGCUAGCUUGUUCAUUGGUAAAUACUAGAUUUUAACUCCAAAUUAAAACGGCAUGUCCAGCCACUACAUAUCUACGCAGCCCUAAUGGAUUGAGAUGGACCUUUACAAAAGAAAAGGUAGAUUCCAAGGACCCCUGGAUUAAGGAUUAUGAUUAGGAAUCGUAUCAUCCACUCUACGUCCAACGUUGUGGCGAUACCGUGGCCGUCCGAUCGGAAAUGAAUGAUCCAAGAUACACACCAGGAGCACUAGUGUAAGAAAUAUAUUCUUGCAAGAUAGCGUGAGGUGAUCCACCACGUAUCCUUAAUUUCAUGGUACUCAUCGUCUAGAUCAGUAUCUUGCAAAUUCUUGUUGCAAUGACUGCUGAGGAAUAUUUGACCAAAUUAAAGCUCAUCAACCAUAUCUCUUUUAUUUGCACUGUGUGAGUAUACGAGCAUCUCAUUUCAGAACUCUUCCCACGGAUGCCUAUAAGUAGGCAACAGUCGUACUCCCCAUACCACGCCACACCAAGCCCCAUUUCAGCUUAGCAAGCUUUGUGUACCAGUGUCUUGGUCUUUCUGCAACAAGCUAAGUGACCAGACCACAAGCUAUAUAGGGCCGAGCGGCGAUGAGCAUGUCGAGGGACCCGCUCGUGGUCGGCAACGUCGUCGGCGACAUCGUGGACUACUUCCCUGCGUCGGCGCUGCUCCGGGUGUCCUACGGCGGCCGCGAGAUGACCUGCGGGUCGGAGCUGAGGCCGUCGCAGGUGGCGACCGAGCCGGCGGUGAGCAUCACCGGCGGAGGCCACGACGGCAGGGCACUCUACACGCUCGUGAUGGUGGACCCUGACUCGCCUAGCCCAAGCAACCCCUCCAAACGGGAGUACCUCCAUUGGUACAUACGUCUAACGACUAAGCUCUCGCUAGAUACAUUUUUUUGCAUGCUAAAUUGCUAAUGCAUAUUAGAGUUGCUUGGGGUUGGGUUCUUUGUUGAUUUUGCUGUUUUUUCAUUUGUUGUAUUAUUGUCUAAUCUGAGUUCACAUCUUUUUUUAAUAUAAUCAACAGCUCUUUUACCCGAUUUGUUUAAAAAAAUGCUAAUGCAUGAUUUUCUUAACGAUGAUGUCUUGCAUCUAUAGGUUGGUGACUGACAUACCAGAAGGAGCUGGUGCCAAUCAUGGUACGUGAGCUUAUGUACAUAGCUCAGAGCUGUAUUUUGAAUUUGAAUUUUAUGCACGAACCAGUUCACUCAAAAAACUUAUGACAUUCAUUAAGAAUGAUGGUUGAGGCCGGAUUUUUCCUUGAUCUAAAAAAACUCAAAAAAAACGUAUAACGCUCCAUCGAGGUAUUGACAAUAAUUGUGCAUCGGCAAGGAAACGAGGUGGUGGCGUACGAGAGCCCGCGGCCAACGGCGGGGAUCCACCGGUUCGUGUUCAUCGUGUUCCGGCAGGUGGUGCGGCAGGCGAUCUACGCGCCAGGGUGGCGCGCCAACUUCAACACCAGGGACUUCGCCGCCUGCUACAGCCUCGGCGCCCCCGUCGCCGGCGCCUACUUCAACUGCCAGAGGGAGGGCGGCUGCGGUGGCCGGAGGUACAGGUGAAGCGAUCAAGAAAUAAGCCAUCGGGAGCUAGCCGGUGGUGAUUAUCAAAGGAAAACGGAUAUAUAUAGCGAUGGAGAAAAAAAUUAUGGGACACACAAUAAUGCAUGGAGUGUAUAGGCUCCUAUGCUCCUUAUUGUUUCUAAUCCAUCUACGAUGUGCAUGAUUGAUGAGGCUGUUAAUAAGCAGUACUCUAAUCUAUCCAUUUGAUAGCACUUUUCUGUUAUCGUUGAAGUGUCUUCGUUUCAAAUUAUUUGUGCACAAGGAAACAGGAAUGUGUUCGUUACACUUUUGCACUCUCUGCCCAAAGUUUAAUAUUCUCAAACGAAAAGGUUAAGGAUUUGCAGUAUCGGAUUGUAUCACCUCAGUCAGGAAAAUCUGAUCUGGAUAUUGACCGGAAUUCGCAGACUAGUAACAGCUCAAAAACACCAAACGUAAUGCAUGAAAAAUUGGUGCUCUUGUAAAAAAAAUACUUGGGCUUUUUAUCAUAUGAUCAAAAUAUGGUUAAGCGAAAUUCCCGGACUUGCUAGUAACAGCUCUAAAAAACUAUUCAAAUGCAAUAUGAAGAAAUGGAACUCCUACAGAAAAAUUGGACGUGUACCAAAUUAACUAAAAUUUGAAAUAGGCCGGUAUAUAAUAUAUACACACACACACUUGAAAAGGAGAUGGAAGAUAGAUGAAAUUUCAAGUACUUUAUACAAAAUAAGUUCGAAUGUGAUCCAAAAACUGCAAGCUUGGACAGGCCCACACGGUCUAUCUAUCUGUCCAAGUAUCCAUCUUCGAUCGCGUGGUACGCCAACACAUGCAGCGCCGCAAAGGCAACGAGCACGCGUGUAGAAUAGCACCGCUAGUUCAAUAAUUUGUUGUUAAUUUCCGAGCUUAAGAUUAAGCUGUUGUCUGAAUAUAGGAGUAGGAUGCAUCGACACAAGGCAACGAGAUGUACUACUUUUUCUUAAUAGAAAUACUAAGUACUGUACUAAGCUAUCAACAGAAGUACCCACUAGCUAAAGCUCUCAAGACCACUUAGCGGCAGUUUAGCUGUUCUUGGGACCAAAUUAAUUUGAUUAUGAGACCACAUAUGAAUAUCAAUUCCUACUAUCUUCUUUUAUCUGUCACGUAUUAAUAAUGCACCAUCGUUCUGUCAUAGUCCAUUGUGACAUUGUCAGACAAUUCCUGAAAAAUGAGCGUAUGAUAAAAAAUUCCUAACUAAAUCCACAAUUAAGGCAUAACAUAUCUUCUCUCUACUGACACACGUCUUGGUGGAUCAAACUCUUUCAACUUUAGGUCGGUCCUAUCGAGCACUUUAGGUCGGUCCUAUCGCUCGAUAGGAAGGGAGACCGACAAGGUGAAACCUAUCUCACCCAAAAUUAAGGGCUAGCAGCUUCUCAGCGUGAAAAAUUAGAAGUUUAAAUAAACAGUAAGUUUCCUAUGCAGCUUCUGGAAGCUGGAAGCUUGAAAAAGUUGAGUUUAUAUGGGAUGCUGAAAAGCUCAAUUUUUCAAGCUUUUCGUAACCUUUUAAGUCCAGAAAGCUAAACACAUCUUCUAAAAGCUAGUAUUAGUUUUUAAAAAUAAAAUCAGCAGCAACUUUUCAAAAAAAUUCAAAAGCUAUAGCUUAAACAAACUGGUAGUACUCACUUUUUAUUCUCGCACCACCACCGCCACACUUGCCGUGUGAUGUGGUCUAUGGCUGCUAGGUAACCGUUACCGGACAUAUAAGCGGUGAGGAUGCAGCUCACGUAACACGAGAGCAAAAAGAUAAUGAGGGAGUCAUUACUUGUCCUCCUCGUUUGUCGGAAAGUAGGAAAUGGUUGUAACUUGUACUCAUUGGAGGUACUUUAAUAGCAUAUAGUAGGUUAUUUCCAAUAGCUUAGCUAUAUCCUUGGUUGUCUUCAUUGGAGGGGUGAUGUCAUCCUCGAUGAUUUUUAGCCGUUGGAGAUACAAGAAAUUAAAUCUUCAUAUAUACUGUGGCAGAGAGUUGUCUAGUUCGCUCACAUUUUUCUAGUAAUCGCUGUAUCAUCAAGAAGUGCACAAUGGCAUUGCGUUAUCACUUUUUUUCCUUUUGCAAAAGAACACAGAGCUCAGACGAAUGCACACUCUGAUUACACGUAUUUCUAUAGCAUCCUCACUCAGUAGACGUACCAUCACAUAAGAAAAAACAAAAGUAAGUUUCCAUCUCGCCGGUCUCAAUCCCACAUUGUUCGAAUCCUUCCUUGCAGUUAGCAACGGCCAAACAGUGAAGCACUUCCAAAAGGAAAUUAUUCCUACCCACUACACAUACGAGGUCAGGUCCGGUCAAGACGAAGACGGACGUGCCGACGUUGGUUGGUAGUUGGUACGGCCGAGUUGCCGACACAACCCCAUAUUUGCAGAGCAGAUACCAAAUCCCACAAACGACGAGGAUCGAGCUGCUUGGCCGACGACGCUGCACGUUCGCCGCCGGAGCAGGGCCGGCCGCCGCAAUUUCAAGGCGGGGCCGGCGAUGGCGAGAUGACGGCGACGCAGCUGGGCACGAAUUGGAAUUGAUGAGCAGCGAAUGAUUGCCCCGCCGGAAAGAUUAUUCGAUCCGAUAGAUUGGUGAACCUAUAGCUAGUGCGGCCGAAAGCUGCAGCGCCUUGCGUUUGCGUGGCUGUGGCGCCGUGCAAAGUGCAUCCCGCGGCCCGGCCGCCGGCGCCGCCGCCCUGCAGGGCGGAGCAACUUGCGCGCCGUCAUCGGAGCUGUGAUCGACACCCGGUGUAAAUCUCGAUGAUCAAGCUAGGUCCACGCACCCAGCUGAUAGCAUGUGGAUCAGUAUAUAUCCAGUGAUUGCUAUGUGACAUCUGUGUAUAGCAGGGCGAGCACAAAUCUCGAGAAAACGUGAGUGUAUACCUGACCUCCAUCUAGUUACUAGCUAAUUGCAUGAGGAAUCCGGCAAUUUUUGUUGCCUAGCUGGACAGAUGGAAAGGCAUAUCGAUCUAGUAUACUGUACCAAAAGUGGUGUGGGAUGGAUCCUUGACUGGGAUGGGAUCCAAGCACUUUCCUUUCAGCUACAUUACAAGAACAUUAAUAAUGGAGCGACUUGAUUAGAGCAUCUCCAUUGGUCUCCCAAUAACUAGUUAAUAGGAUGUCCCAAUAUCACUUUCAUUGUUAUUGGGAGAGUUGCUUUUGCAGUCUCCCAAUAAUCUCAUCCCAAUCCAAUUACCGUAUUGGGAGGGUCACACUUUAUUUAGGAAGAUUUGAGGUGAAUUAUUGGAUAGUCCCAAUAAUUAUUGGGAAAAGAAAAAAAAGGUAAAGGGAGACGGUUGGAGCACUAUUUUCUUAUCAACUCUCCCAAUACGAUAGUUGGAUCGGGAAAAGGAAGACUACUAGAGAUGCUCUUAGGUCCAUCGAUGUAGAACCAACCUAUCCGUUUCAAGUAUCAGAUUCAAAAGGUGCAUUGUAUUUCAUGGCUAAUUAUUCUUUCGACGGUAGGCAAAGUGGCCGUAGUAACUACCUAGUUCUAGAACUAGUUUUCAAUAACAAUUUCAGUUGAUUUUAGAACUAUUUUAAAAUUCAAGUUCUUUUAAAUUAGACUAUUCAACUGCCCAACCAGAAUAUAUAAAAUUUCCUGUAGUUAAUAUAAAUGUUUAUGCAGUGGCAUUUAUUCCAUCGAAUCUUCCUAGCUAGUUUAUGUCAUUUCACUCUCAUAAGCUUCAAGACAAAACGAGGUCAACAUCAUACGAAGAGCAUAACGAUACUAAUCAAUUGGUGAAACGGCAUCAUAAAUAACAUGGAGGUCCAGAGUUGAGUACCAAGGGGAAUUUGUGUAGCUUUCAAACAUAAAAGGUAAUAUUCUAGAGUUAGAAGGAUGAUGAUACCACUCAAAUUUUUGGCCUCACAUGCGGAUGCGAGCCAGAUAACGUGUCGAGCAUAUAUGGUGAAUUAUUUAACAAGAACAAAAAUUUAUUCGCAUGGAACAAAAUGGUUCUAUACCUAAAAAAAUGAGGUAAACACAUGGUGAUGAGGACAUCGCCAUGCUGGACACCCACGAGUCAUGGUCUUCCCCAAGUUACAGGUCGUCACCAAUUCGGUCGUUGUGUUUAGUUCGGAUUCAGCUGACAUCCUUGCACGAUUUCGGCCAUAAUCUCCCUCAUACAACAUCGAAACAAGACGUUCUUUGAUGCGUUGGAACGGGGAUGACGACGUCGUUCUUUUGGUUCUGGUCCUAGUUCUAGAAGGUUCGUGGAUCAUUCUGUGUGACCACAACAAGGUGCUGCAUCACCAGUUUUGGGCCAACUUGGCCUUGUAUCGUGUCGGGCCUUAAGCCCAAGUUGUGGGCGCCCCCCCUGGUCGCACCCAACCCUAGUUUGCCUUUUUGAUAUAAACUCAGUAGCCACCACCUUAGAAACUCGGGUUUUAUUUAGUUCUAGUUUUACUUUAAGAAACUGAUAUUGAUACGUUGUAACUGUGGCGACAAGUCCUUUUACAGUGAUCCAGGGCUCCUGUUCCUAUUCUCGUCGACUGUGUCGAUUAGUCCUUUCGAAUUGAGAGCUUGGACCCUUCUUUACUUCGUUCAUAUUUGCAAUUUCAGAUUGCGUGUUUAUACUUUCUUGCUUGUGUCCUUCGAUUCGCUUGCAGGGAAAGCCUUCUCGGCGAGGUCAAUCAAGUUGUGCUUGGUUAAUAACCAACAGAGCAGCGGUGUAGCGGUUGCAGGGAUUCGAAUCAUAUCUGAUUAGAAGCUCAGAUCGUCAACGUCGAGUCUCCACCAAUCAAAUUUAUCACUACCUUUCAGAAGAUCGGGCAAGUGCUACAUCACAUGGAACAAAUUUUCUAACCCGUGUUUUAGUUAACAUGAAUUGCCGGCACACAACCUUCAUUAAAAAUGAUUCAAGUUCCUUUUUUAGAUAAUGGAUUCAAGUUAAUUACUCCCACGAUUGAAUUCAAACCUUAGAAUUUCUACUAAUGGAAAUAAACACGAAAAUGGUACAGAAGGAAAGAAAUGCAGGUCAGUGUGAUCGCGUAAAAACACGCGGCAGUAAGACAAGACAGCGUAAACGGCCUGACACAGGGGUUAACCGCUCCCUCCCCUUCAUCAAAAACCGCUACCCUCUCUCGCGCGCCAUUGCAUCUCCGUUGCGCCCUCCCACGCCCGCCGCUCAGCGCGCGGCCUCGCCCCGCGGCGGCUGGCCGCCGGCCUGUGCACCGCGCCCUCUCCCACCGGCCACCGUCGAUCACGUCCGUAAUGGCGGACGGGCAUGGCGAAGGUGCCGCCUGGGAAGGGCCCUACGACCCGUUCCUUAUGCAGGACGACUUCGACGACGUCAUGUACUUGCUCGACAUGGCCGCCGUCGUCCUUGACCCGCCGCCGCUGGCAGCACAGGCGCAGAACGUCGCCGCUGGUCCCUCUCCCUCCGGCGACAAUAAUCUCCUGGAGUGUCCGGCGAAGUCGAACAACGACUCCGUCGGCAACAGCGCUCCUACACACAAUGCCGGCGUCACCACCGGUUCUCCUAGCAGGGCGCAAGACGUGGGCGCUAGCACAUCGGCGACCGCAUCGACGUCAUCGCCGGCGGCCACGCACCAGAACGCGUUAGAUUGCACCGGCUGCCAAUUGCUGCGAGAAGUUCUGCACUCUAACGGUAGACACACGUACCGACGACAUGGAUCGUCCAUGGAUGCCGAUCAAUCACGAAUGCUCAUACAUCUGGCUUCUUGCGAAUUUCUAGGGUUUGAGGCGACAAAGCUUAGUAUCCAUGGGGCCGCCGGGGUGUUCUACCAUGCAACACUGCAGGUGUACCGCAUCAAUUCCGAGGGCAUGGCAACAUCACUGACGCAUCAAUCCAACAUUGAGUAAGUUGGAGAGACUCGAAUUUCAUGUUGUGGCAAAUUUCUCGAAUGCUUUUGCAGUGCAUCUACUAGCAGUAAUUUGGUUGAAGCCCAUAGUUUCAGGUGCCGGGACUACGAGUGGGUGAAACGCUACCUGACGGGCUACGCCCAGCAACGCGCUGGCGGAGGCUACACCGUCAUCCAUGACUCGGUCUCGGCGUUCCACGACGCCCUCUGCACCAGGAUGAGCUACGGCGGCGGCAACGUUGAAGGCGGCGACGACCGCUGUGAAGGGGAAAUAAUGGCGGCAGCAGCAGUCGAAAAUGGUGGUGGUGAUCAUCAGCAUCAAGAACUCGCCGGUGCCGCUGAUGUUGCUGCACAUCCUCCCGUCGAGCAGGGCGACGCGCCGGCAGCAGCAGCAGCAGCAGGUUGGAUUGUGCAUCAUUGCAUCAGCUCUUCUGAUCUUCUUGCCCUUUGCAUUAGGUUCUAGCUCGCUAGGGUUUAAGUUUCAUAUUCAGUUUAUCAGUUACGACUUAUGAAUAAAGAUUACUGUUUCAAAUGUAUAGGGCCUUCUGAACCAAGUGCUGAUAACGAGCAGGAGCAACGGGAGGUUCGCCCGGUUGGCGGCAGGAGUGCACUUGCGAUCCAGGUAUCUAUGACACGUGAUCAUUCCACUGGAUCUACUGUUUUCUGGCACACAAAUUGUUUGUUACACCUCAGCUACGGUUAGUUAACAUUGGAAUUACAAAUUUACAACUAGUUUAACAUUUUUAAUUUGCAGAGGGAGAGAGCGAGCAAUCUGCAGCUGAGCGACCUGGCGCGCUACUUCCACCUCCCCAUGACCGAGGCCGCCAAGCACCUCGGCGUCUGCGCCACCGUCCUCAAGACCACCAGCCGCAGGUUCAACGUACCUCGCUGGCCUCACCGAAAAGUAACCACAAGUUCACAUGACCUAGCUCUCCUUAAUUUAAUUAUGUGCUUCGUCCUAAUCUCCUUUACUAAUAUUUUCUGAUGAUUUUUUCUCUUUCAUAUGUUUAAUCAACCGGUGAUGGGGAUUAUAUUUGUUUGUGUGCAGAUCAAAAGCAUUGACAACCAUGUUGCCAAGCUGAGGAGGAGCGGCGGCAAUGGCGGUGCAGCGGCGAUGAGUGAGAUGGAGAGGCUCACCGAGUCCAGGAGAAAGAUUUACGCUGACCUGGUUGGUCAGUAAAGACCAGGCACAUUGUCUACAAUUUUUACACUGGAAAUAGUACUUGUAAUAAGAUGCCGCGCAGAUAUAUACUUUGUUGUCUAGUAAGAUGCCAACAAUUUUUGUUUACAAGAAAGGGAAUAAGGAGAGAGCCCUCUCCUAGAUUUCAUGGAUGCUAAAAUGAGAUGGAUUGUCAGGUCCGAGGAAAAAAAAUCAAAAAUUAAAUAAAACGCCACAUACACGCACGUAUAAUUGCCCCUGCUAACACACGCACGCAACCCUACCCCAAUAAGCACCUCCGAAAGAUCUAGCCGGCAAAUUCUCGAGGUUGACGAAGUCACCACUGAAGUCUCGCUGCCCGUCAAUCCAGGAGCACUCGUGGAGUCGAGGACUCGAACCUCGGUGGACAGGUUCCACCGUAAGGACCUUAACAUCACAUGUAUAUUGGCACAAUCGAACAAAGAAGUCGCGGAUCCAUCCCCUUCAAAUCAAUUCAUAUCUCCCAAACUAUAGGUUUGAUUACAAUGCAUGGAUUUUUGUAUAGGCAUGUAUUUCCAUGAAUCCCCUACUCAUAUCAAAGUUUUAGAUCAAUUGAACACCAUCUUACUAUCCAAAUUGAAGUGACACAAAAUUCAAGUGACACACAAUUUAUUUUUGUGCGUAACAAAUAUUCCAACGGUGGUGGUGGUGCUGACUCACAUAUGGUAGAUGGAAGGAGAGAAAUUUGGCCCACUUGGGCCCACAUCAAACAUCUCGGAGUAGGUAGAUAGACGACUUGCGAUUUACAAAGUAGGGAAUUCAAUCACAAGUUAUAUUCAGACUCAAAUACCGAACGCAAGAUUAAUUAUUCAUACUAACCGAACCAUUUUGACCAAUCUUCAAACUUCAACUCAAAACAAAUGUCAAAUUAUUUUUAAAAUAGCAUGGUUUGUGUUACAAUUUGUAAGUGACGAAGUACUUGAUUUUUUUUAAAAAAAGAUUACUCCUCGUACGGUAUACACUGGCACUAAAUAUUCAGUUUUACCAACAGUACUGACGAUGGCCAUCGUAUUUCCUUAAUAUUUCUCUCGUAUAGACGAUGGUAAAUUUUAGUGCAAUUCAAUACCAUUCCAUAUGCUCGUCACUUCAAAAAGGGCAACCAGUCUCCACACGUUAUCAUUCCAUGUGAGAUUAAUUUCAGAGACAAAAAUACUUGAAUUUGAAAUGGGAAUUCACAGGCAACAUCGAUUUUUCCUUCGACUAUACCACUAAUAUACACAGUUAUCCGCUAGCUAUAUGAUUAUGUGUUUGAAACGAAAACUCAACUAUUUUGUCAUCUGUUAUGUACGAUCUAAACCGUGACUGCCGGAGUUGGGAGCUCCGGUAUGCCACCCUGGCUGUUGAGCACGAUGACCUUCCCCUCUGAGUCAACAUCCACAAUGGCAGAGUCACCCUCCUUGACCUCCCCAGCGAGCAUCUUCUCCGCAAGGCUGUCCUCCAGCAGCCUCAUGAUAGCCCGCCUCAACGGCCGUGCACCGUAGCUGGGGUUGUAGCCUUCAUCCACCACCCGCUCCUUGAACUUCUCAGUAACCUGCAGGUUGAUGUCCUUGGCCUUGAGUCGGUCGAAGACCUCCUGGAGCAUAAUAUCUGCGAUCUCCUUGACCUCGAGCUUGGUGAGCUGCCUGAAGACGAUCAUCUCAUCGAGACGGUUGAGGAACUCGGGGCGGAAGUACUGCUUCAUCUCCUCAAUGACGAGGCUCUUGAUCCUGCCAUAGCUGCUGUCCUUCUCGUCGGAGUCGAGGUCAAAACCAAUCUUACGCCCACCCUUCUCAAUGACACUGCUCCCGACGUUCGAGGUCAUGAUUAGGAGGGUGUUCUUGAAGUCCACUGUUCUUCCCUUGCUGUCGGUCAACCUCCCGUCUUCCAAAAUCUGGAGCAUCAUGUUGAAGACAUCAGGGUGUGCCUUCUCAAUCUCAUCAAAGAGCACAACUGUGUAUGGGCGCCGUCUAACUGCCUCAGUCAGUUGGCCACCCUCAGUGUAUCCAACAUAUCCUGGAGGUGAACCGAUCAGCUUGGAAACUGUGUGCCUCUCCAUGAAUUCACUCAUAUCAAGCCGGAUCAUAGCCUCCUGAGAGCCAAAGUAAUAGGCAGCAAGGGCCUUAGCGAGCUCUGACUUCCCAACACCGGUGGGACCUGCGAAGAUAAAGCUUGCAAUCGGCCUGUUGGGGUUCUUGAGGCCCACACGAGCACGGCGAAUGGAACGACUAAUAGCUACCACAGCCUCAUCUUGGCCAAUGACACGUUUGUGCAAAGUCUCUUCCAUCUUAAGAAGCUUAUCAGAUUCAUCACUGGAAACCUUCUCCACUGGAAUGCCAGUCCAUGACGAUACUAUGUGCUGGAUAUCUGCUUCAUUAACCAUAGGUCCUGUCUCUCCAGAUUCCUCCUCUGCUUUGCUCAUCUCUUUGCUCUUGUCAAUGAGGGCUGUUAUCUGGGCUUUCAAUUCCAUUUCACGGUCUCGCAGCUCUCCAGCCUAAUGGCAAUACCCAAAAAAAAACAGAAUUUAGCUGUGAGCAUUGGGGAAAAAGGUACACACAAUUAAGUAAACAAAAGUACAGGCAGAAAGGCAGAGCAUAGGCAUCAACAUAUGUAACGAAAGCAGGGAAAACAGUUAAAUAAACAAAGGCAGAAUGAGAGACAAGUGAAAUUGCACGUUAUCAAAUUUUAAAGUCAAGUGAUAACUAUUUAAAGUCAAAAGUGCAGCAAUUUUUUUUUAACUCGUAUAUUACAUCUUAAAAUGGAAAAUAGAGAAUAUCACUCAAAUAGAACACUGACGAAAGGAACAAGAAUUGCUGAAUCAUCCAAAAGUAUCUGUCAUCUACCAACUAUAUAUCUAAAUAUUUUGUAUAUACAAGUGAAUGUUUUCCAUAAAGCAGUUAUGGUGGAUGGAAGUUAUGGAGUAAUAUCAUCUGCCAGGAGGAGAGGCCUGGUACCAUUUCAGUUUGCAUCACAACAUGAAAUAGAUGUGAAAUUUAGUAAACCUAGUCAGUUACCUUUUCAAAAUCCUGGCUACGAACAGCUUCAUUCUUCUGUUUUGUGACUUGUUUGAGCUCUUUGUCAAGCUCUCUUGCUUCCUCAGGAACCUGCACUAAAAGUUCGAUUUAAAAUUGUUUUGGGCAUGCAAAAAUUAAGCAUAAAAAAUAAACGAAAGCAGAUGCCUCGGGAUACUUUUACCUGUGCAUGCUGUAGCCUAACACGGGAACCUGCUUCAUCAAUCAAGUCAAUUGCCUUGUCCGGGAGGAAACGAUCACUGCAAACAAAAUAUGCUGUCAGGUGAUGAUAAAGAUGCAGCAUAGUAGCAGAGUUAAAUCAUCCAUGAACAUAGUCAGAAAUGAAGUGCACUAGUUUCUCUGAGAUGUUAGCUAAGGUUCCAGGGUAUUUUGCUUGUACUUGUUUACAUGAUCAGCUGAAGUGACACACCUGAUGUAUUGAUAUGAAAGCUUUGCAGCUGCAAUCAGAGCUUCAUCAGUGUAACGAAGUUUAUGAUGGAUCUCGUAUCGUUCCCUAAGUCCUCUGAGAAUUUCUAUGGUUUCAUCUACUGUUGGCUCUGGCACUUUCACGGGUUGGAAACGCCUUUCCAGGGCUGGGUCUUUCUCAAUGUGCUUCCUAUAUUCAUCAAGUGUAGUCGCUCCAAUGCACUGAAAUUAGACAUAACAAGUUGGUUGUAACAACCUCAAGACAAGGAAGAGCGAUGAAAAAACUCAUGUUGAAGGAAAAGAAGAUACUUCACUUGCGCAAAAGAAAAGAAAACAGAAAAUUAACCACAACAUAGGAACAUGUAAUCUUAUCUACGCACCUGUAGUUCACCUCUUGCUAAUGCUGGCUUCAAAAUGUUAGCAGCAUCGAUAGCACCUUCUGCUGCUCCUGCUCCUAUCAGAGUGUGAACUUCAUCAAUAAAGAGUAUUAUCUCGUCACUUUGCUUGAUUUCUUCCAUCAGCUUCUUUAAUCUUUCUUCGAAUUCUCCACGGUAUUUUGUGCCAGCAACAAGAAGUCCCAUGUCAAGGGUAAUGACCUGCGGUAAAUUGGUUGAAGAAAUAUCCAUCAUUUCCUCACAAUCUCAUCAAAAGAAUGCAGAAACAAAGCAGAAAAAUAAAAGGUAUGAUCUUCAUAAUGUCUUCCAUAGAUUAAUCAGUUACAAAUUACAAUUCUAAUAUAACGUGUCGCAAAUAAGUAUGAAUACAGCAUACUUUGCUCUUUUAUUUGCUCAAUUAUUGUUGGGGUCAGUGCAGAUGAUUAGAAAAUUCUACAACAUUUUGAAUGCUUAAAUAUAGGGCUAAUAUGACUCGAAAUAUCAAGCAGGCUCUUCAAUGAUUAACAUUGUACCUACAUACUAGAAUGCCAACUGUACGGGGCUACUCAACUAAAAUGAGAAAGAAAAGAGCAAUAUGUGCAUGCACCCUCAUGUAGAGUAGCAUAAAUAUGCCAUACACAACAAAACAGAAGUGCAUAAAAGCAAAAGCUUAUUCCUAAGCUCAUAUGUUCACAUAAGUUGCAGAAUCAUUAAGCAAAAUAGUAAAAAUAGAAACAUAUUGUGUAUUUGCUCCGAAAUGAUGCAAAAGAGGCUACCUUUUUCCCUUCUAUUGUUUCAGGCACAUCGCCUGUAGAAAUGCGUUGAGCCAGUCCUUCAGCAAUUGCAGUCUUUCCAACACCAGGCUCUCCAAUCAAGCAGGGAUUGUUCUUCGUUCGUCUACCUAAAAUUUGUACCACACGCUCAAUCUGUGGCUGCCUACCAACAACAGGAUCUAGCUUUCCCUGCAGAUAUGAUAAAUAUUACUGAAUACUUCUUUUCCAGCACUUGUGCUUAUUAUAAUACAGGAGGACAGAAAAAUUACCUCUUCUGCUAAUUUUGUUAAAUUAGUUCCAUACUCCUCGAGCGUAGGCAUCUUAUUACCACUACUCCCUCCUCCAACUCCAGCACCAACAGCUUCUGUGGUCUCACCAAUCAUUCGGAUAACCUAGAGAUCCAUGACAUUGAAAACAAGCUAAUUAAACAAAAUUUGUUUUCAAACAGAGCACUUCAUCAUUAUAGAAACAGACACCAGAUAUAGUUUACCUGUGUACGGAUAUUGCUGGGGUCAGCUCCGAGACUCUCAAGUACACGAGCCGCCACACCUUCACCCUCACGAAGCAGUCCAAGAAGCAGGUGCUCAGAUCCAAUAUAAUUGUGUCCUGGAAAGGGAAGCAUUUAGUGCUCGAAAAAAAUCUUAUACAGAACUUGUCAAAAAUCAAGUGCACUAUGAUACGAUACAUAGAAGGAAAUGGUAUUCUGGUUAAGAUAAAUAUCUUGACAAUUAUCAACAUAGGAAGUAAAUCCACCAUAAUAAAUGAGAAAGCAGGGUGGGAUGAUUUUACAUAUACAAUUGGUCAAUGACAAAUAUUUUUUUUUACAAUAGACAAAGCAAGACAAUGGAUUCAAUUCCAUCUUAAGACCUGAAUUGUUAAAAGGGACAAAAGUAAUAUAUUGGAUGAUGCAAAACAAACAGGCCCGUAAUGAUGCAAAUAGCCAAAUAUGCAUAAUGAAGAUACAAAAAUAGCAAUGCGAUAAGGUUAUUCUAUGAGAUUAUGAUGCCCAUUGCACACAUUCACAACUUCCAUUCCUUAAAAAGUGGCACAAUAGACAAAAAUGGAAGAUCAAUUGCAUACAAAUAGUGCAAUGACCUGUCCAUUAUCAAAUCAGGAUCCCUCUUAUGUCAGUUAAGAAUGAUGUGUCGAAUACAUUUAAGGGAAACUGCACUUGUAUCUAUGUCAAGACGCCAUUUGAUAUCUUCAUAUCCAAAAGUCCACAAACUCUACCCAAUAUUUUCAGCAAAAUCUUUCAUUAAAAGAAAAGGCUGUCUGGGAGCUUUUUAUCAGGACUCAAUAGAAAAAAUGCCUAAAUCUGGAAGUAAUCAGAAAAGGAAACUCCAUUCUGGGGCUACAAAAUGUUGGUCAACAGAGACAAUCCUUCUAGAUUUUAAUCUGAUGCAAGUUGCAAAUUAAGGAAAUAGAAGACAAGACAAAAGGGUAUCACAAGAACCAUGAGAAGCAUACACAGUUGGCAAUUCCUUCUAGUUUGAUUUAGUUCUAGCAGUUAAUUAGAGCGAAUAGGAACUGAAAUUUAAGGCAUCAGGGUAAGGAAAAAAAAUAAAAAGAAGCCUUGAUUAACCUACCUAAUUGGCGAGCUUCCUCCAGUGAGAGCUCCAAAACACGUUUAGCACGUGGUGUGAAUGGUAUUUCAACAGCAACAAAGCCAUUGCCCCGCCCAAUGAUCUUUUCCACUUCCACACGUGCAUCCUUGAGAUUUAUACCCAUGGACUUGAGCACCUUUGCUGCAAUACCAGUCCCCUCUCCGAUCAGACCUAAGAGAAUCUGCUCGGUACCAACAAAGUUGUGGCCCAGGCGCCUCGCUUCCUCUUGCGCAAGCAUGAUGACCUUAAUAGCUUUCUCCGUGAACCUCUCAAACAUCGCCCGAGUAACAAAGCGAGAACGCCUUGUCCGUCGAGAGGAUCUGUAAGAUGCAACUGCCGACCUGGAAUUGGACACCGUUGGUGUGACCGAGAAGCUAUGUACUGAUCUUAGGCCGACGAAUGCUGACAUCUUGACAGGGCGGCUAAGAGACAUUGCCAACAUAGAGGCAGGCCUCCUGGUGCCAUGGGACCUCCAUCGCUGGGUGCUUAUGCGACCCCCGAACGUUGUUCCGAGGGCAACUGACUGGAGUAAAGUCCCUGCCAUGGUCAGAAGUGCUGCCCCUUAACCUGUGCAAAGACAUUAGAUAGUUUAGGAAUAGUUAAUACCAAUCCUCCAAAAAUCUCAGAUGGACACAAUGACUGAAAUCAAAACAUUCACAGCAGUACAGCCAAUUUUCGAAAUUUCGCCCAUCCUCCAGUUAAUACCCCAAACAAAUCACAAAAACAAACUGUGCUAAAAGUUGGAAAAUAAAGUGCGCUACAGAACUCCGCUUCCUACCAAAUUAAUCCGUAAAAUCUGGAUGGACAUGGACUGUACAUCCGCAAAAGAAAGAAACAUUUGGAUUUGGGGGGAAAGACCUGUUCCCCCGGUUACAGAAAGGGAUCGCAUCCAUGAACUGCGCCCAUCGAUCGAAUUAAAUAAUGUUUCAACCUCACAUUGGCAUCGGUUAUAACUAAAGAGGGAGAGGGAGAUCAGCCAUGCAUCUUAUCCAGAACCAAAACAGAAUAAAAAUCAAAACUUUUUCCACAAAACAAUCUACAGAUUCAGGGUCAGGAAUCACAGCCCACCCCCGACAACCGGUGAUUGCCCAUCCAUGAAUCGAAGAACGCGAAUCCUCGAUGAGAGUUUCGGGCACGCAACCAAGAACAAGAAAUUACCCAAUCGCAGAACGAGGAAUUCAGAGAGAGAGAGAGAGAGAGAGAGAGAGAGAGAGAGAGAGAAGCGAUGGUGGCGCUCACCUCCGAGGAGAGAGGGGAGGAGGUGGUGGAAGGGCGGUGCGUUGGUGUUGCGUCCUCCCCUGGUCCCUGGAGAUAAGGGGGCCGCUUGCUUGGCUUUGGCUGAGUGCCCAACAAAAAAGAGAACACAAGAUUGUUCUCCCCCUCCCUCUCUUUCUCCUCCUUUCGUCCAGGCUCCUGAUUCUGCCUUUUGUCUGUUUCCUAAGUUUUCUAUUUUAUGUUUUCUGCAUUUCUGAGGAUGGGAAUUUUUUGACAAUUCGGCAAUUUUGUUCGUGCCAUGCACUGCGAUAGAUAUUUUUUUGGGGGUAACAGAUUUUUUUCCCAUUGUGAGAACAGAAUCAGCGGUGUUCUUGAGUGUUUGCAUUGCAAAUGUUUGGGGGACAAACAGUAUUGUUGACAAAAUUGAAUUAGGACUCCAAAGAAAAGGAAGCACAUUUAUUUUAAUUUUCUCUCUAUUAUAUUUAAAUUGUACAUAAGAAAAAAAUUUAGAUGAUGGUGGAGCCCAAGUGGCAUGGUUCAGCAUGACCGAGAAUUAGAUCAAAAUUUCAUAGGACCACCAUCUUCAAUGUAGGGUGGAAUGCGAUUCGAGUGCAUCCAAGUUCAUCAUGAAAACAAACAUUUAUAAAAAAAAACUAAAAGCAAUGAGUACCUAACGCUUAUUUUUUUCAGAAAUAAAAUGAUUGAAUCCCAGUAUAGAGUACUGAUGUUACCCGAAAGAGGAAUGAAAUAGUACAAAAUACUUUUCUCUUGCCAAACUGUAAGCAUCAAUGCGUUCAGUCACAUAACAAACCAUUUCGUCUCAUACACAUUUCUCUUUCUGAUCUUUUACAGCGAUGUGGUCGGCAGAUAAGAUGAAUAUACACGCACACAAAAAUCUUGACAUGGGCACUGUUGAGAUGGGUGUUCCUUCUCCUUGACGCCGGCGCCAGAGCUUCGUAGGCCAUCAGUUUCUGAACAGAAGAGUUUUGUAGUGUGCGCUUCUGCUACGGAAGCGACAGCUUUCAAGCUUUUGGUGACAUCUGAAUCCACUCACUGAAUCUGAACGAAAUUUUGAGAACCUCUGAAAUCUGAAUAGUUCUCCGCCUGCCAAACAAGCCGCCACGCCCACGGGACGAAUUCUCUGAAGAACACAAGUGCCACUUGUACUGCUGCACUUGCUCUUACGGAUGCAGACAUACGUCUUUGCAAACUUGGACAACAACCAUGCUGCAAGGAAGGCUGCUGAUUGCCUUUGCUACAACGUACUGUGGCAUGGUAUCGUACAGAAGGCUGCUGAUAGCUACAGAACUAUGGAAGGACCUAUGCAGAUGGCUCAUGCUUGAUUGUUGUAUCAUGACAUUUUGGAGACAGCCAUAGACUGAAUUGGUAAUCUGGAGAAUCCAAACCGAUGCCUUCAUGGCCAUCAAACUCAUCCAAUCCAAUCAACUCUUCGAUCCGACUCUUUUUGUCCGCUAGUUUUUGGGUGUCGCGUGCUCCAGUCUCUUUAAGAGGUUGAUCUGUCUGUAACUUUGGAGCGCUGACCCUUCUUGGGGCGCCAAGUUUCAAGUGAGGCGGCCUUCUUCUCUGACAGUUGCUUGGCACCUGGUGACUGGAGGGUGCAGACGCUUUUGUUGUCCUGCUCAACCUGGAGGGAACUGCUGGCGCCUUCUGAAUCUUCGCUUGAGAGGAGGCUUUGGUUCCUUUUGUGCCUGAAUUGGUAGUCCCUCUAUGCAGUUCAGCGCUCUUCUUUGCUGAAGCAAGUUUGUUCUUAUGGAGCCUCUGCAAGACUGGAUUUAACUGACGAACUUCAGCAUAACCAAUAUCCAUUGUGUUUCUACGAGGCGACACACUGAGAAAUUUGUCAAAUUCAGGACUGUUGUAGCAAGUGCGCUCAAAUGGCCAGAAUAUUGGCUCAUCAGAGUCGUUAGCUUCUUUCCUUUGCGAUGUUCCUGCACUAGAACUGGGAGGACCAAAUUGGAGGCUUCUGACUGCACUGAAAGAAGGACUGGGAAAGUCAGAAUCGAGAAUAUCAAGAAACUGUUCCUUGCCUGGCAGCAAAGCAGAAUCCUCUGCAUCAAGAUCUAAAGAAGAGACCCAUAUAUCUGUUCUGUCAAGAUCCUCAGACUGAGUAUCUGACUGUACUGUGAAUGGUGUACUUGGGGUACUGAUUGUAGAUGACUGCUCGCUGAAACAGCUAUCAUAUGAAGAAUCACCACACUCCGAGUCUGAAAGGACAAAGGGAAAGCCAUUCUUUUCAAGUCUCCAUCUAAUCGCCUCCUCCUCAGUAGCAUCCCGCUUAAGACUCUUUAGUGGCAAAUUAAGGAUGGCUGAUGAAACCUCCUUGUCAGGACAAGGAGAAGUUGCAAUUUCCACCCUGUGCAUGAUGACAUCAUUGGAACUAUACAAUGAUAACUGCAUCAAGAACUGAUUAUGAAGUGAAGUUGCCUUCUUGUCAAGCUCAGAACCAUCAAAAUCAUGGGUCCCCUCGCUGUCCUUCAUUUUAUGUCACCCUAAAAGAUUGAUUCGACCUAGCAUUGACAGAAAUAAGAACUGUUAGUGGGAAAUCGGCAAACACUAGCAAAGCUAUUGAGUUUUUCCAGGAAAACAAUAAGAAAAUGGUAGCACCUGCAGUCAAGACAAGGUAUUGCAGACAAACCAGAAGGAAGAUAAGCCAGAAUCACACCUUACAUAUUGGAUUGAAGUAUCCAUUAACAUUGUGACAUCGAUAUUACACAAGCAAUUAAUAUCGGCAAAUCAAGUUGACAGGAUCAAACUAAUGUGUUCUGCUAUGAUAAAUAAGUGACUCAAAUGAAACAAUCUUGACUUCACAUCAUACAUGACGUAAUUAAUUUUUCAUAUUUCAGUAUUCUGAAAAGUAUCCCCACAGAAUGUGUCACUGUAUUUGUUAUUCAAAGGCACUUUCUCACAAUUGACCAGGAUUUUAUAUCUGAUCCACUUCCUAACACAACACUGCUUUUGUUAACCACUUCAGCUACAUGUGGACUUUUAUACAUAAAGAAAAGGAACCUACUCCCAUCUACGAAAGUGCCCUAAUGUCCGGGUGUUGUUUUCGGUAUAUCACUAAACAAGUUCAGGUGCCCCAAUAAGGGGGAAAAUUCCAUUUCUUUAGUGGUCAGAUAAAUUCUGGAAAAAGAACUACACCAAAUAACCAAUGGACCACUAAAAUCAAACUGAGGCUCUAGUCAAGGAAACAGGCAGGCUUGUGUCAUCAGUUCUCGCAGUACUUCAAGGAAACUAAGUCCAUUCACAUAAUGACAGGCUUUCAUAGUGAUCUCAGAAAUGGUCACUUGGUCAGAGUAGAGAAGGUGAGAUAGUGAUAUGCAAAGAAAUUUGCUUUCGUUUCAAACGUAAAUAUUGACAUUAUGACCGCCGCUCAGAUUACACAAUGAUGCAUUUGGACAUGUGGAAAUUUUAUGCGGGGUUAAACUUUACUCCAGUGAUGUUUUUAGGGGGAAAUAUAUUAGGAAACGAGACCCCCAAAGUACUCUGUUCCUGAUGCUAAAUGAAAAUUAAGAAUUUCUGUUGUUGAAGUAAACUCACCCAGCAAUCCCCAAUAGUUUCAGAGUUACACCAGCAUGCAGAAAUCAUUGACUUUAUAUAAAAGCUCGUGAAGAUGAAGUGCUUUUUUCCGUGAUAAACCAGUCUGCUUACUCCUAAUCAAGCUAACAACUCUGCUCCUAACCAAGAACUCAACAUGCAGAAAAUUUCCCCCUGAUUUCAGAAUCCACGACACGGAGGUACGAAACCAUACCCUUUCUAGCAAUAGGGAUACAGAAGGGAGACAACAGAGAAAGAACUGAAAGCUGAAAGAAAACCACUGCGAGGGCACUGUCUUCGAGGUUAAAUUCGGGAAAAAAAAAAGAAAGGAAGAUGGGUGAAGUAAGCGACUGAAGAUGUAUACAGUUUGGCGGAUGAUUCUGAACUGAAAGAAGAAAGGGAGAGAGAAGAAUUUCUACCUGAAUCUGGCGCGCCUGGACGAGAAGCCGCCACACCCUUUUGCUCGGCUUCUUUCUCCCGCCGCCGCUCUCCCUCCGUCGAGGGCGGUUUUGAAUGAACCCCCUCUGGUUUUGGUAGCGAUUUCUUCUUGUUUGGACCUCGGAUUCCUUAGGGUUGACAUGUGGAUCCUCAGAAUUCAGGUGAUUUUCUUUUUGUAACCGGCCAGGCAGGGGGUAUUCUUGGUGCUCGUGUGAAACCGAUCGCAUCUGGGCCACCAAAAUUAUACAGCAUAUCUUUCUUUUCCUAAAUCUUCUGUGAUCACUUUCCAUAAGUUAUUGUUCUCUCCAAUGCUUUCCAUAAAUUCUUGGCAUUGUCGAAAUGUUAAGGGGGCGCUGAGGUCUUAUGUUCGGGUUUGACCAUGUUUGCCGGGCUAGUCUAAUAGGAUAUGCUACCUGCGUUAAGAAUCUUGCAGAGAUAGUAUGGUUUAAUAACUUUUAAAAAAAAGAUUUGAAGAGAUUUCAGAGAUGGACAGAGAAGCUGUUGCGUGUUUUGCUGGCCCAACUCAUGUCCUCCUAAGACCCAUUAUUCGGUUCCGUUUUGGGCCAUGGUCGCGUACCAGCAGCCUAAGCCGGCGACAUCACAGCCCACUCGCUUGCCCCGAUUCCUUACUUGGGCCAGUUUCAUUUGUACCUGGAUGAAGUCUUCCCACCAGUCGAGAAGCCUUUUCUCGCAGUCGCGCAGGCGCGCAGCCUGGGAGCUGCUAGGCGUCACUUGAGGCGACAAAAUCGCUAACCAACGCCUCAAGACGACGCGGUCCACCAAACAGCCCAUGAAGGCUGGACCACGCGCCACCGCUGCUUCCCCUCCUCCCCCACAUCGCCCUCCUCCAACAUCUCCGGCAGUUCCCACCACCGCCUUAACCCGAUGCUUACCGUCACGCCCCCGCCUCCUCCACCACCCACCAACUAUCCUCCACCACCCGAGACUGGCGGCACCCCGCCCUGCCCACAACCCAUCGUUGCCGUCGAUCCGCCGCCGCCUAAGGCCCUCCCUCUACAGCCGGGACUCAUUAGAGACCCCACAUCCCCAGCAGCACGAACUCGAAGCCCCUAACCCCAAACCCUAACCCUAUCGGCAGCCACUCACCGGAGAACUCACAGCCCGCCCCCGCCCAGUCCCUGGCCCACCAGCUAUCAAGAUGCCACCCUCCCGAUGCGAUGGCAGCCCCACGCUACGCUGCCCCACAACCCACCUCCGCGCACCGGGCUUCCCUGCUCCCUCAUCCACCCCUUUUCUAAGGUCGGAAUGGAGCUCCCCAAUAACCCCGCGCCCAAAUACCCUAACCUAGCGGCAUGGCCGCGCCGGCUGCGAGCGGAGAUCGAGCCAGCGAGCAGAGGCGGAAGAAGGCAGAGGAGGAGGUGUUGCUGAUAAGCGGGAUCCACAUAUAUGCAACUGUUGACGCCAGAUUUCGUCACUAGUAAAAUCGGCGCCAAGAAGAGAGGGAAUCGGAGAAGCACAGUUGGGAAUCGGUCGAAUGGUGCUACAGUGCGAGAUCGGCCGGUGACUUCUGUCUCGCUUCGGAUUGAACGUGCCGGGGUCCCAAUCGGUUGCCUUUUGCCGAUAAGGAUUCGGCCGAUUAGGAGGAUGGUUUAAUUGGGCCUGUAUGGGCUUGGAAAGGAAUAAGAGGAUAAGGGGGAGAUCAGCCCAUGAAGCGUAGAGUAACCAACCUAGCACGAAUCGUGCUUGUAAAAUAUUCGUUUUCUGUUUGAAUUAGGGAUAGAAUUCUAGUCGGUUAAGAAGUCCUCUGUACGGGGCUAUAAAUAGCUACCUUUGAAAAUAUGUAAUCAUCAACAAAUCAAUACAACAUACUACUUUUUCCUCGUACUUACUUCCAAGCAGACGACUUCGUCAUUACUUUUCUCUUUUUCACGAGUUCGUGCGGGUUGGCAGGGCUGCAUCAGUUCGAUCUUCGGCCGAUUCUGUAAGUUCCGCUUAUCGAGUAAUAUCUAAGCUUUAACUUCGGGCGCAUCGCUGUUGUUUCGUUUAGAUUUAUUCACUAGUUAUCGAUAUUUGCUAGAUUCAUAGGUUUUACCUAUCUUUCUAGUUUUAUCACCAGUUAUCCAGCUAGGAAUCGGUAGUUUCGGCUUUCUUCACGUUCUGCUUUUAAAUUCAUCUAUUGCCGAUUAGAUCUGUUCCUAGUGUUGUUAUCUUAGCUUUGUGUCGAUUACUCUAGUAGUUUUCCGUCUACAAGGCUACAGUAAUCGGCUACCUUAUAGCCGAUUUCUUUAUUACGGCAAAUCGGCCGAUUCGCUGAUAAGCUAUCUCGAGAUUGGAAACUUAGCCGAUCGCGAUUUCUGGACCUGACACGUAUUCUUCCUUGCCAAUCAACAGGUCAGAUUGGCUGGCACGCCGCGCGAACCGCACCAGGGCAAUCACCCGAACAGGAGUUAAGCAGAUUCUCCCGGGUCGUGUGUCGGACGCUGGGAUUCGGUUGAUCGAUUUCUAGCGCCAACACACUUUUGGCACGCCCGGUGGGACCAAUACAACCGCCAUCAUGUCGAAAGCUGCUGAAGUCUCCGAAGAAAACGUCAUCGAGGUGACGGAGGCAGAUCUGAAGGACGACCAGAAGGAAGAACUGGAUAAAUAUACGGCACAGUUCCGGAAAGCUUGCCUACAGUCUUUCAGUCGCUCCAGAAGCGGGGAAACUAUCAAGAAGACUCCGUUCCCUGCUCCCCGCCAGAUCAUGAUUUCUGAGGACUCGGACAAAAUGGCCGAUAUGAUUCAACAGUCCAUUUAUCACGCCUUCGUUGAUCAGUCCCCAGUACUUUCAAAUAUGGUGCACAACGCCGUUGUCAACUCCUUCGCUGGUGGGAUACCUCAAGGAUACAGGGGACCGGCAUAUUUUCAGCCGAUUCCACCAAACCAGAAUUAUUCAAAUUCGGUUUCACAGCCGAUCCAAUUUUCGGUCGGGGGUUCAGGUGCUUCCUCCUUAUCAGCUCCUAUGGGGUAUAACUCCAUCCAACUGUCUUCCGCACCAUUCCCUCCAGUUGGCCCAUCACCCUGGGGGGCACCUUCAGCCACGGCCGGUCAGAAUCAAUCGGCCAGUCAAGGAAGCCCUCCGUUCCAGGCAUCUUUCCAGGCGGCCACUCGGUCGACCGUACCGCCAUACCAGCCUGUCGCUCUGGAGGUCAACAAGACAGCAGAGCUCAUGCUGUAUGAUGAAACGAGUGGUUCAUUCAAACAGCCGACCUUUACCACGCAGCCGGCUUUCACUCAGAUGCCACCUGCUUUCACUCAGCCUCCGUUUAUUCCGCCUCCAGUGUACCAGCACGUGCCAAUACCUCAGCCAACGGUUCACCAGCAACAGCCAGAUUGGUCGGCACGUAUUGCGGAGGUGAUGCAAGAACAAUUUGGCUUAAAGCCGAAAGUACAAACUUACACCUACAGAACACCAUACCCGUCUACAUAUGACCUAUUGCCGUUUCCCCAUCGGUAUAAAGUUCCUGACUUCACUAAGUUUUCGGGGAUGGAUGACACUUCGACCGUAGAGCACGUAAACAGAUUCAUCAUCCAAUGCGGAGAGGCAGCUACGCAGGAUGCCCUACGGGUACGGUUGUUCUCAUCAUCUUUGUCUGGGUCGGCCUUUCAAUGGUUCACGACAUUGCCGCCAAACUCGAUUAUCACAUGGGCCGAUUUGGAAAGACAAUUCCACAAAUACUUCUACGCCGGGGUGCAUGAGAUGAAACUGUCCGAUUUGACCAGCCUCAGGCAAAGAAGUGAUGAGCCGAUAUCCUCGUAUGUACAGAGGUUUCGGGAAAUCAGAAACAAGUGCUAUUCCCUAGGUCUAAACGACGCGCAGUUGGACGAUAUAGCUUUUCAAGGCCUUCUACCCCACAUCAAAGAAAAAUACGCCUCACAGGAGUUCGAGAGUUUGAGCCAGAUUGUCCACCGAUUGUCUGGACAGGAGGUACGUUCCUUCGAUCCACGGAGGAAUUUCCAGAAGAAAGUGGCGUUCCUGGAAGAGUUAGAGGACGAGGAAGACAUUGAAGUCGGACUUGCGGAGUGGAUCAAGGGAAAGAAGCCGGUAUCAUGCCCAUUCGGCAAAAAGGAGCCGGAGGUGUUCGGUUUUGACACGACAAAGGCCGAUAAAAUAUUCGACCUUCUCCUCCAGGAAGGACAGAUUAAACUCUCGCCGUACCAUACAAUACCUUCUGCCGAACAACUAAAAAAGAUGAAAUACUGCAAGUGGCACAACGCCACGUCCCAUGAUACUAAUGAGUGCAAAAUCUUUAGGCAGCAGAUACAGUCGGCCAUUGAGCAGGGCAGACUUAAAUUUGAAGUGCCGACAAAAUCGGCCAAGCUAAUGAAGAUCGACCAGCAUCCCUUCCCCACCAACAUGGUUGAUACAGGAAAAAAUUCACUCCAAACAAAAGUGCUGACGUCCGAAUCGGCUAAAAAGAGUGGCGCCGUCGACCCCAGAAACCAAGCUACGCCUGAAGAUGUCAAAGGGAAGCGGCGGAUGGAGGAUGACGACGGCGAAUCAGAAGAGCCACGCAUUACUUCCCAAUUCCUGCUCCAGAAGUACCAACGUCAGCAUGAACGUUCAAGGUCCCGGGAAGAAGCAAUGCGACGGCACGAAGAUCACUGGAGGUGCCCGUUCUUCAUCCACUGUUGGGAAAACAACCUCAGGCUACCUUCGGCCGAUAAUUGCCCAGAAUGCAACGGUCCAUAUCGUGGAAAUCGGCCGUUCAACAGGUCCCGCUCCAGAGACGGAAGGCCAGAACCGAUCAGCAGGAAUUGGCGCAACCAAGAUGACCAGCGCCCUCCCGUGCGUGAUCGGCUGGGAGGCAGAAGUGACCGAUAUGAUCGGUCGGAAGAUGGACGCCAUGACAGGCAGGGGGGCAGGACUGAUCGGCAUGACCGGUCAGAAAAUAAGGUCAACGUUCACAACCGGCUCAAAGAGAUAGCCGAUGCUCGGGUGACAGACGAAAACCCGUUAGGACGCGAACCGGAGUCGGAACGCGCCAAGUCAGGGGGCAGACCAAUAAACCCCAGGUGGUGUCCCGAUGGAUUAACCAAGUCUCAAAAACGAAGAAUCCAACGUCUCCGCCAAUGGGAACAGCAAGAAGAGGAAGGCACGACGGACAAGAAGGAAGGAAGGCCUCGGGUGUGGCGCCCCAAAAGAAACGAUAAAGGAGACGAAGAAUCGGCGGGUGACGAAUUGGCAGCCGAGAUCGGCAUGGUUUUCAUACUGCCGAUGGAAUUCAUGACUCCCGCCGAUCAACAGGAUAUAUCGGCGAUAGAAGAACAAACGGCACAGUUGGCUUUGGAGCCAAUGAUGGCCACGUUCAAGAAGCCCGAAGAUAACGAACGACAACACAUGAAGGUGCUGUUCCUUAAAGGGCAUGUUGACGGCCGCCCCCUCACUAGACUGAUGGUAGACGGAGGAGCUGCAGUCAACAUCAUGCCGUACGCCGUACUCCGGAAGCUUGGGAAAAGCGACGACGACUUGACCAAGACGGACAUGAUGCUCAAGGACUUCGAGGGCAACGUGUCAAACGCUCGCGGCGCUCUCUGCGUCGACCUCACCAUCGGCAGUAAGACCCUUCCUACCACCUUCUUUAUUAUUAAUGGCAAGGGGUCCUACAACAUGCUACUUGGCCGGGACUGGAUACACGCAAACUGCUGCAUCCCGUCAACAAUGCAUCAAUGCCUCGUGCAAUGGGUCGGCGAUAAUAUCGAGGUGGUCAACGCCGAUUCCGCGUACAGCAUCGCGGCAGCCGACACGCAGCAGUGGAGCUGCGAAACCGUCAGGUGCAUAUCCGGCAGAGUAUGGGAGACCGAUUUCCUGAAGGUCACCGAUUUUGGCCUACAGCCGAUCCGAGCAGUCGGCUCCGAAGACUCAGAGUAGAUGGAUCAGUUCGCCCGAGAAGAUGGGAAGCUAGGGCACGGGUUCACGUCGGCCGAUUCGUUAGAGAUGAUAGACUUAGGUGAUGGUACCAAACCAAGGCCGACUUAUAUUAGUGCAAAUUUAGACCCAGAAUACAAGUGUAAAUUGACAAAUUUGUUAAAGGAAUUUAAGGAUUGUUUUGCUUGGGAGUAUCACGAGAUGCCCGGUUUAGACCGAUCUAUUGUUGAACAUCGGCUACCCAUAAAACCAGGGUAUCGGCCAUACCAACAGCCCGCACGGCGCUGCAAUCCUAAGAUUCUACCAGACAUAAAAGCUGAAAUAACUCGGCUAAUCGAAGCAAAAUUUAUUCGGCAAUGUCGUUAUGCCGAGUGGAUCUCCAACAUUGUACCAGUAUACAAGAAAAAUGGAAAGCUACGCGUUUGCGUUGAUUUCAGGAAUCUUAAUCAGGCCACACCGAUGGAUGGUUACCCCAUGCCGACGGCCGACAUACUGAUCGACGCUGCCGCGGGACACAAGAUUAUUAGCUUCAUGGACGGGAACGCUGGAUACAAUCAAAUACUUAUGGCCGAAGAGGACAUACCCAAAACGGCCUUCAGAUGCCCAGGUCACCUUGGCUUGUUUGAGUGGGUGGUGAUGACUUUUGGCUUGAAGAACGCUGGCGCUACAUAUCAGAGAGCCAUGAAUUACAUAUUUCACAAACUCAUUGGCAUUCUGGUAGAGAUCUACAUCGAUGAUGUCGUAGUCAAGUCCAAAGGUCACGAAGAGCAUCUGGCCGAUUUACGAAGAGUGCUAGAGUGUACCAAAAAACACGGUCUUAAGAUGAAUCCCAAUAAAUGUGCUUUCGGCGUAUCCGCCGGACAGUUCUUAGGAUUCAUGGUACACGAACGAGGGAUAGAGAUCAAUCGGAAGACCAUAGCGGCCAUCAAGAAAGUCGUGGCCCCGCAGAACAAAACCGAACUGCAGUCUUUAAUCGGCAAGGUGAAUUUUAUCAGAAGAUUCAUAUCUAAUCUAUCUGGGCGGAUUCAGGCGUUCACACCACUGUUGAAGUUAAAGCCUGACCAGGAAUUUAUAUGGGGAGAGGAGCAACGCAAAGCACUGGAAGAUAUCAAGCGAUAUUUGGUCUCACCACCAGUGUUGGUUCCUCCUCAAACUGGUAAGCCUUUUAAGCUAUACUUAUUAGCCGAUGAAAAAGCUAUUGGGUCAGCUCUAGUCCAGGAGUUCGAAGGCAAGGAACGAGUAAUUUAUUAUGUCAGCAGAAGACUUCUGGACGCUGAAACAAGAUAUCCUCCGGUGGAGCGUUUUUGCCUAUGUCUUUACUUCUCAUGCACCAAACUCAGGCACUAUCUACUGUCGGCAGAAUGCGUGGUCGUAUGCAAAGAUGACGUAGUAAAAUACAUGCUAUCACUGCUGAUCUUGAAAGACCGAAUCGGCAAAUGAAUCUUAGCUUUGUCAGAGUUUGACCUGCGGUAUGAAUCGGCAAAAGCCGUCAAGGGUCAGGUCAUGGCCGAUUUCGUCGCCCAGCACUGCGGACCGGAGAUUGCCCUCGUAGAACCGGCACCUUGGACAUUAUAUUUCGAUGGGUCAUCAUGUGGGGUCGGAUCAGGAAUCGGCAUCGUUCUCAUAUCGCCUCGGGGGGCAAGCUAUGAUUUUUCUCUGCCGAUAGAAACCGCCGCUACUAACAAUCAAGCGGAGUACCGAGCUGUAUUGAAGGGCCUACAACUAUUAAGGGAAGUCAAGGCCGAUUCUGUCGAAAUCUUUGGAGAUUCCAUGCUUAUUGUGGAUCAACUGACCGGAAGGUCUGAAUGCAAAGACGACGUAUUAAGAAUUUAUUACGAAGAUUGCUUACAGCUCUUAAAGGAAUUUAGAUCGGCAGUAAUCGAGCACAUCCCAAGGGACCGCAACGAAGAUGCCAACAAACUCGCCCAGCACGCAUCUGGAUAUCGGCCAAUUCUAGGCGCUAUGGCUCUAGAACUCACGGCCGAUGACUGGCGUAAAGAAAUUGCCGACUACCUAAAGGAUCCGUCUAAAAAGGUGGAACAACGAGUACGUUUUCAUGCUACUAAAUACGUACUGCUUGAAGACGACCUAUUCUACCGAACGAUCGACGGUGUUCUACUCAAAUGCCUUGGGACAGAGGAGGCCAAGACUCUAAUGGGAGAAAUCCAUGAAGGGGUAUGUGGAGCACACCAAUCGGCCCAUAAGAUGAAAUGGAUGAUCAGGAAUAAUGGGUAUUACUGGCCAACGAUCCUCGAAGACUGUUUCAAAUAUUAUAAGGGUUGUCAAGAUUGUCAAAAGUUCGGAAAUGUCCAACGUGCACCCGCAUCGGCCAUGAAUCCUAUCAUCAAGCCAUGGCCGUUCAGGGGAUGGGGAAUAGACCUUAUCGGCCAAAUUUACCCUCCAUCAAGUAAAGGGCACAAGUUUAUUCUCGUGGCUACCGAUUACUUUACUAAAUGGGUGGAAGCAAUUCCGUUAAGAGCCAUGACAUCGGCUAUCAUGGCUGAUUUCGUAAGAGAUCACAUCGUUUACCGAUUCGGCAUCCCUCAAACUAUAACAACCGAUCAGGGAACAAUGUUCACAUCGGGGGAAUUCGAGGAAUUUACAACCGAUAUGGGGAUCAAAUUGUUGAAUUCGUCUCCGUAUUAUGCCCAAGCCAAUGGGCAGGCCGAAUCCUCCAACAAAGGGAUAAUCAAGUUAAUCAAAAGGAAAAUCGAAGAACAGCCAAAGAAGUGGCAUCUAUGUUUGACUGAAGCCUUAUGGGCGUACAGGAUGGCUUGUCAUGGGGCCACCAAGCUAUCUCCCUAUCAGUUGGUGUACGGUCACGAUGCAGUGUUACCAUGGGAAUCAAGGGCGCGAUCGAGGCGCAUUUCGCUCCAAGACCAGUUAACGGCCGAUGACUACUCAUCACUUAUGAAAAGGGAACUUGAUGAUUUGGCCGGCCAAAGAUUGAGAGCUCUGAUAAGCAUUGAAGAAAACAAAACGAAAGUAGCCAGGUGGUACGAUAAGAAGGUCAAAGUCAAGCAAUUCUCCCCUGGGGACUUAGUAUGGAAGUUAGUAUUGCCGAUUGGGUCGAAAGAUCCUAAAUUCGGAAAAUGGUCCCCCACAUGGGAAGGGCCGUAUAAAAUUGGCAGAUGUGUUCCAGGGAAUGCUUACAUUUUGGAAACAAUAGAGGGAGAAGAAUUUACUAGAGCCCUGAACGGAAGGUACUUAAAAAGAUACUACCCCAGUAUAUGGGUCGGAGCAUAAGAGACUAACAGUAAUACGAUCACAUAUAGCCGAUACAAAACGGUUCAAACACAUAGUCGUCCAAAUCGGCCGAUGUAUUCAUUCGGUACGGGCGAUGGGUUACACGGCCGACAGAACACAAAGUCGCCCUUAGAACAAAAAAUACAAAUAACUAAUUCUUCUUCUUCUUGCGCUCCCUCCCAGUCCGAUCCAACUCGUUCAUGAUGCGGAGGUAUUCUUCUUCUAUUUCUUUCAUUGAGGCCUCCGCUUCAACUUGACGAGGGAGAGGAUGGCUCCGGUCCAGAGGAGGGCGCGACAUUCCUGCCACCACGUCUUCAAGAACGACUCGCGGAGGAAGCGGAUGGCUCCUGUCGGUUGAAGAUUGCCGGCUACCAUUACUCUCCACAAACUCCAAGACCACACGAGCCUCCGCGGUGACAUGGUCCCGGAGUUCGUCACGAUGAGCCCAGAUCAGCUCCUUAUCCUCUGACGACAAUGGGUCCUCAGAGUGUAUGAACUCGAUGGCGCGUAUGAGCUCAGGGCUAAGACGCUGAGGCUGAAACAAAGAAGGAAUAAGAAGGGGCAUCCUCUUCCUACAAUCUAAGAAGAGAAAGGGAGUCAAAGCCAAGGUUUCACCUGGUUGACAGAGGAGGAAGAAGCCGACGAAGACAUGACAAAAAGACGCGCCGACGAGAGGAGUAAGGAAAUAAAAACCGAAAGCCAAAUUGGUACGUUCGGAAGGAAGUGCCUAGGCCGGUACUUAUAAGAAAAAGAGGCGUGGAAAUUUGGUAAGGAUACGUCCCAUCGGAAUUUAGGAAGGCAAUAAAUAGAAAGGGCAUCGCGAAGGGCGGUCAAAGCAGAUAGUAAAUGUUCGUACAAGACAGUCAGUGUUUUACAGACUACCCAGAAGGGUAUUGAUAGCCGUGAUUGCCCGACGCCGGAUCUGAUCGGCAGAGUCCAGAACCCGUUGGUCUUCAUCCGCCGAUCCGGGGACUUCCGAAGCGCUGCGGUGGAGUUUUAGGGCCUCGUGGGCCAAACGCUGCCUCUCCCGUGUCAAAUCAGCAAUGACAGAAGGGAGUUCUUGGAGCCUUUUCUCUUCGGCACUAAUUGCCUUGGUCACUUGCUCCAUCUCCUUGGCGAGUUCCGCCCUUCGACGUUUGAGGCGGUCUAUCUCACCGACGAUCCCCGGGCGAGAGUCCUCAAGAAAAUGGAUACGCCGGUGCGCCUCUUGAGCUUGACGCUUGAACGCGUCCUCCUCUUCACGAGUCUUAGCCAGCUUGGCGCGAUCGGCCAUGUGACGAAGGGCUCUGAAGACCGGGAUCCUCAUAGACUCAAUGAAUGCCGCCGGCGCCAAGGCUUCCUCCGCCUCUUCUGGUACUCGCCCGCUGACAUCGCCGAAGAGCUGCCGAAUCGGUGAAGCAUCCUCGACUAAUCGGCCGAUGUCCCCUUGAAGGAGGGAUCGGACACUAGCAAGUUUGGCUCGGACGUCGUCAGGAAUGGAGCUCAAGGCGACUUGGCGAGAAGCGACUUCUUCAUCGUCGGAGAGGGCAACCGCAAAGAAAAAGAGGCUGUUGUCGGGGGUGUCUUGUUCCUGAAGAUAAUAAAAAGGAAAAAUGAAUCGGCUGGGAGUAAGAGCAAAUCGGCUGAGCAAAGCCGGAAUGUAACUUACCACUUUGAAACGAAUUUCUUCAUGUUGCAUUUGGGAAGCCGUCACACCUUGCUCAGGGGCUUGCGCCAUGGGUUCGUCAGAAGAGGAAGACUCCACAACGAUCGGUGCGGUGCUUGGACCAGCUCCCUGAGAAAAGACCGGUGGUUGAGGAGCGCUUGGUGUGCCGAUGACCUGUGUCAGAGAAUUGAAUAAGUAUAUUAUGCAAAUAUCAGGGAAAAUCGGCGAAAUAGUGCUAUACCUCAACGGACGGAAGCGGUGGCGCGCUAAUGGCCGAUUGGGCUGCUGCCGAUUGUUGAGUGUCCAUGGGAACACUCUGUACAGUCUAAGAUAAGGAGGGUUAAUAUCAGAACAACAAUCGGGAGAAAUGAAGCUUGGGUUUACCUGAAUGGCUUCUAACAACAAUGAUGUGGCGGCUGCCCCAGCUUGUGCGACGGCUUGGGUAUCGACAUCUUGGAUGACCUGAGAGGGUGGUGCGGCCAGAGUCUCUACCGAUACGAGCACAGGAGGAUCCGCCGAUUCUAUACGAGCUCGGACUCGGCGACUGGUCUUUUUGGUGAUCCUCUUCUGGACUUGUUUCGAUCGGCCGGCAAUCACGUCUACGGACGGAGCAUCAUAGCCGAUGAGAGGAUAAGUGGUGUAUGGAUGAUGAUGCUCUAUUAUCCGACCACUCCGGCUGUGUGUUGGGGGUGUGCGAUUCUCGGCCUGAAAAAAUAAGUAGAACCAUUAGUAUUCAAUCACGUUAAGAGGAGUAAAAAUCGGCUAAGGAAAAUACCUCGGCGUUCGGGUCGAUGUUGGCUGGAUCCAAGAGGUUGCAGUAUGCCGAUGCCGAAUUGCAGAAGAGAAAUUGCUUCCAAUCGGCCCACCAGAGUUUGAACGGCUGGACAGCAAAGGGAGCUACUAGCCAGUUGUUCAGGUCAAUGGUACUGGAGUCCGGAAUCCGGUCUCGUAACCGACUGUAAUCCAGACCAGAUGUGAGCUCAUCUCUAAACUUGAUUCGGCCAGCAAAAUACACUUGAAUCGGCAGCUGACCCAUACCGAACUGACAUGCUGCAACGGAAGGGUUGUAGAACUCAUACGUAGGGGCAUCCUUCCCCAAGAAGAAGUUGGCUGGCAAGAUUCCUGGCUUGAUUAACUCAUCAUAGAGCUCUUCAUCAAAUCGGCCAGUGGUCGAAUCAAAGCAGGUUGGGAGUUCAAAGACCGGGUCAUCCCGCUGAUAAGGAAACCAAAUGGUUGCAUCUUCAUUAAAGCCGUUAUAGAAGCAUCGAAAGUACUCGGCUACCUUUGUAGCAGAAUACGUGCAACCUGGGAAAGCUGAUGCCGCUUCACCAAAGGACAUGCAUCGGCGACGUUCGGUAGGGUCUUCUGCCGAUUCGAUGUUGGGAACAUCAUGCGGUCCACUCUCUGCUGAGUGAUCUCGCUCAUGUAAAGGUUCAGCCAUAAGUUGAUGAACCACCAGGGUCCGCCUGGAUUUCCGAUCGGCUCUCCCUUGGAUAGUCUGAUGCCGAUUUGAUGGAGCAUGUGGUACGCCGCCCCUAGCAAAUGUUUCCCAAGAGGGACAUGGUUUCCUCUGGACAGUGCUUCAGCUAAAGCCUGGGUAUUGGUUGACGGGCCGGCGGCUCUUCCACAAAAGAAAUGUUUUUCUAACCACAUCAUCAAGAAGGCCGUAUGCUCCCUAUUCUCAACAGACCCGGUUCUUUUAUUGCUUCUGAUGAAUCCCUUCCACCCGCCGAUUCCCCUUAUGUCCAGCCGAUGUGACGUUGCGGCUAAAAGAUGGAAAGGUGUGUCUGGAGAAGAAAUGUCAAGGCCGGUCAGCAGGACCACAUCGGCUAGUGUUGGGGUCAUAGGUCCGUGCCCAAAUAAGAAGGCAUUAAGUGCAUCAGACCAAAAAUAAGAAGCCGCUAUUACCAACGGCUCAUUUUUCUCCAUCUGGGACAAGGACAGGUUGAUGCACUGGCCGAUUUUGAGCUCCUCCCAUGAGACGCUCUUCGACGCGGCUACCCGUUGGUACCAUUCCCUCCAACCUGGGGUUUCAUUCGGCCAGGACCUAAAAGUACCCAACCAUUGAUCUAAGUCCAUGUUGGACAGUUUGAAGGGUAUCCUGUGGGUUUCCAAAUUGAUAAGAUCUAUUGGAUCUGGGUUCCCCAUAGGUCCGAGACAAACAAGGCCGGGAUUUCCCGUAAGAUGGAUGGUAAUGCGAUGCCUAACUGCCUAAAAAAAGGAAAAGGGAGUGUAAAAAAGUAGGAAACAGAUCUAAGGUAAAUGCAUUGCCGAUAGAAGAAGGAUUCGGUAUUUACCUCUGGGAUGAAGUUCUGAGUGAUCGGCGUAGUCGCCGGUGCAGAUGCGGACAAUGGGGCCGCGAUGGGGAUCGCCAUUGGGAUCUCCGAUGGAGCUCCUUCUUCUAUGGAUGGAGCAACGGCCGUCGCCACUACCGCCGGAGGCGCUACUUCUGGAAUGUCGCGCGCUGGAGAGCUGCCGGAAGGAGCCGCCAUUGGAAGAGAAGGGGAAACGUAACAGGAGGAUGGCGCUAGAAGGCUUCGACGGCAAGGGAAAGAUGCUGAAGAGAGAAGAGGGCGCGCACGCUUGGAAAGAAAGACGUGAGCUUGAAGAUGAAGUGCGGGGUGAAACGCUAUUUAAAGGAUGCCUGAAGGAGGGUAAAAACGGAAUUUUCACCGCGCCGGCAUUUCGAGUUUUUCGGGGGUAGUGGCUGUCGUGGGCGCCCGUUUCGAAAAGAUUGCAAUCAUCAGCUGGAAGACCGCGAAACGGAAGGAUAUUUUCACUGCGGCCGUUUCGGAGGGGAGGUUAUAAAGAAUUUCGAAGUAAAAGACUAUGUUUUACUCCGAAACUGGGGGGCAUGUGUUGACGCCAGAUUUCGUCACUAGUAAAAUCGGCGCCAAGAAGAGAGGGAAUCGGAGAAGCACAGUUGGGAAUCGGUCGAAUGGUGCUACAGUGCGAGAUUGGCCGGUGACUUCUGUCUCGCUUCGGAUUGAACGUGCCGGGGUCCCAAUCGGUUGCCUUUUGCCGAUAAGGAUUCGGCCGAUUAGGAGGAUGGUUUAAUUGGGCCUGUAUGGGCUUGGAAAGGAAUAAGAGGAUAAGGGGGAGAUCAGCCCAUGAAGCGUAGAGUAACCAACCUAGCACGAAUCGUGCUUGUAAAAUAUUCGUUUUCUGUUUGAAUUAGGGAUAGAAUUCUAGUCGGUUAAGAAGUCCUCUGUACGGGGCUAUAAAUAGCUACCUUUGAAAAUCUGUAAUCAUCAACAAAUCAAUACAACAUACUACUUUUUCCUCGUACUUACUUCCAAGAAGACGACUUCGUCAUUACUUUUCUCUUUUUCACGAGUUCGUGCGGGUUGGCAGGGCUGCAUCAGUUCGAUCUCCGGCCGAUUCUGUAAGUUCCGCUUAUCGAGUAAUAUCUAAGCUUUAACUUCGGGCGCAUCGCUGUUGUUUCGUUUAGAUUUAUUCACUAGUUAUCGAUAUUUGCUAGAUUCAUAGGUUUUACCUGUCUUUCUAGUUUUAUCACCAGUUAUCCAGCUAGGAAUCGGUAGUUUCGGCUUUCUUCAUGUUCUGCUUUUAAAUUCAUCUAUUGCCGAUUAGAUCUGUUCCUAGUGUUGUUAUCUUAGCUUUGUGUCGAUUACUCUAGUAGUUUUCCGUCUACAAGGCUACAGUAAUCGGCUACCUUAUAGCCGAUUUCUUUAUUACGGCAAAUCGGCUGAUUCGCUGAUAAGCUAUCUCGAGAUCGGAAACUUAGCCGAUCGCGAUUUCUGGACCUGACACGUAUUCUUCCUUGCCAAUCAACAGGUCAGAUUGGCUGGCACGCCGCGCGAACCGCACCAGGGCAAUCACCCGAACAGGAGUUAAGCAGAUUCUCCCGGGUCGUGUGUCGGACGCUGGGAUUCGGUUGAUCGAUUUCUAGCGCCAACAGCAACAUAUAGUUAUCUGUCUCAUAUGCAACAUAUAGUAUCGACGCGCAGCUUCGCGCACCCCGCCUGACCAACAGUGCAAGCUUAAGCUACAUCCUCAAGCACCACGUCGACACGGCGAAGAUGACGUCGGUGAAGCUCCCGGCGAGCCUCCACCGGCAUGCAGCCUCCGCCGCGCAUACACUCAGAGCAGCAGGUCCUCCUGGCAACGGCAUCGGCGGAAGACGAGCUGUGCUUGCUCGUUGCCGAGAGGGAGAAAAGAUAUUGGUUGCGCGGAGCAGUCGUCGUCUAGGUGGAAGACGCAGCCGCGGGCGGUGAUAGAGAACGAGAUGAUCGUGUCCUUCACCAAGGUGAACGGGCUGAUGGAGAAGAAGACGGGAGCAGCUCAAUUGAAGUGGAUUGCGUCAUUCAUGAAGUGAGUUUGUGUAAAACCGUGUGACUGCUCCCAUAUCUCUAUUAAUUAUUUUGCUUUUUUCAUGCACUACUUUCACCCGGCUGCGGCUUGUGCUGUGUUGAACGCUGGCUGCAGCAACAGCAGCGCUGCAGCUGUGCAGCCAGCACUAUGGGUCAAAGUUGAAGGAUGGCGACUCGACACUUGGACAGCCGGCCGGCGGGCGGCGGCAGCUAACAAUCUCGAUUGGUAACUAGGAAAAAAAAUCUAGUACAAGUCCUUAGGCGGCAAGAGCUGCCAGGCGAGUCCAGACCUUGUUUGCAGAAAACAAGUUCUGCUAAAAACGCCGAGGAGCGGUUUUCUGGUUUUGUGGAGGUCAGGUUUUUCUCGUUUGCGAGUUAUGUUGGGAGAUCCAAACACGAUUUUAGGGGUGGUUACCAUAAAAUAGGUUUCGCGGAAACUAGUUUUCAUAAAACUACAGAUCCAUCCAAACAACAACUCCUCUUGCGUGGGCUAGGGCGGUUUGUCUUUGUCACGGGCGGCGGCGGCGACGUCCGAUGGGAACGGAAAAGGGAUCGCCGUCGCUUUCGUGCGACCUCCUUCGCGAGGUGCUCGCGCGCUGAGACCACGAGACCCUCGUCCGCUGCGCCGCCAGCAGCAAGCUGCUCUGCCGCUGCAUGCUGGAGCUGGACGACCCGGCCUUCCUCUGCCGCCGCGCCGCCGGCUUCGCCCCGUCCCUCCUCCUCGGCGUCUUCGACUCCCCGCGCGCCACGGGGACGCGCUUCGUGGAAUCCCCUGCGCCAACCGUCAUCCCCCGCGAGCCGAUCCGCUCCUUCCUGUCGGACAACGCCGACCUACUCAGAUGCUUCGAGGAGCCCGUCGCCUGCCACGGCGGCCUCCUUGUCCUCCGGCGGUACCGGUGUUCUACCGAACGCGGCGCCGUCGAUCUGUGCGCCUGCAACCCCAUGACCGGCCACCGCUGCUUCCUCCCGUCGCCUGAGGUCUACGCCUCAGCAGCCGCCAUCCUCAUCGGCGAGAACGCCGCGGGGAAUGGCAGCCCCUUCCAGCUGCUCGCCGUUGACCAGGUCUAUGAGAAUUGGGGACAUACCAUGGUUUACCAUGUAAGAAGCCAGCUCUUCUCGUCACCAGGACCUUUCCCGGCGACCUCGCCGGGCGGCACAUGGGGGCCCGUCAGCAGAAUUGCUCCCGGCGGCCCUGCCAAUAGCUUCAUGCCUGGAGAGUUCUCCGUUGGUCAUCAACCGCGUUGCAUACUGGAUGAACACAAGCUCCCUGGCGUGUCCUGGUUACAAUGCCUUCGCGCUUGAUGUCGAUGGGGGAUGCGCAGAGCUGAUUAAGGGGCCAAGAGAGCUCGAAGGUCCACGUGAUGGACCAAAUGAUGUCUUGCUGGCGUUGACACCAGACCGGAGGCUGAGCUUUGUCGUCCUUGAGGAGCUAGUGAUAUCCAUGUUUGUGUUGUUGUCAGAGAGGUCCCUGAGCUGGGAACGGCGUGCGGUGGUGGUCCGGGAGGGGAUCCUUGCGCCGCCUCGCUGGAUGCGCCUAGAUUGCUUCGGCGAGAGGAGUGGCACUGUGGUCAUUUGUAUGGGCUGCCAGCCCGGGCGGCUUCUGCUCAACCUUGAGACGAAGGAGGUGAUGCACAUGUCGCCGGAGCCAAAGGAGGAGAGCCUGGAGGGGCGGUGUCACCUCUAUGAGAUGGACCUUCCUCUCCUCACUGUAGCCCUCCUGAAAUCCCCAAAUUCAUGUGCUGCUUCAAGUAAAUUGUCGAUAAAGUUUGGCCAGGUGCUGGCAACUAUUGAUGAUACAGCUAGUGCUGAUGUUAUGCCUCGCAAGAUUUUCAUAGGAGCUAAUCUGCUUAAGAAGGGGGAAAAGUGUAUUUUUGUAUUGUAAAAGUGUGACAUUCAUGUUUCAUGUGUCAUUUGGUGAAAAUCAACUCCUUAACUAAUUAAAUCGGUGCAUUUAUCAUCCUCACUUUAGUUUAAUAGUGAUUUAGUUGCAUCUAAUGGUGGUUUAUGUCACAUAAUCAUCUGAAUUAGAAUUUAAAUAAUUCAUGCCUAGCGUGUAAUAUGCUAGUCGAAGAUAUAAAAUUAAAAAAAUAAAUAAAUCCUCUAAAUUGCUUAUCCUAUAAAAAAAUUUCAGAAAAUUUAAUGGAAUUGAUUCUCACCGAACUAUUAGCAAUUGAUUCAACAUUAGAUAUUGCUAAACAUUUGAUGUUGCUAAUCAGUAUUAGUAAGAUGAUAUAUUACAUGGCGUAGACCGAUGUUAUAUGACUCUAAACCAUUAUAUUAAACUAAGGUGGGAUGAUAAAUGCACCGAUUUAAUUAGUUAAGAGGUUGAUUUGUACCAAGGACGAAUGUCACACUUUUGUAAUAAUUGAGGGAUGAAAAAUACACUUUUUCUCAAUAGGUGAAGCCAAGAAAUUUAAUUUAUGUCGGCUCCAUGCAACUUGGAAUUAUCAAUUUGGCUUAAGUUCUAGUGAGUCCUAAAUUGGGUUCACCUCGCAUUGUAUUAAGAAUCAGUUUGCUUGAUUUUUUUCAAGUAGUUCUAUGCUCUUUCUUUUCUGUAGCUCUCACGUGAGUUUUCUUGUGCUGAGUACAAAAUUAUCCUGCAUAAUGUUAAUGGUAUACCCUUGUGUUGGUCUGUUGGACCUCAUGGUCUGGCCAUUGACGUAAGGACCGGCACAUGUAAUUUUUAACUUUUGCAAUUUAAUAAAAUUUGUUAGAAAUUAAAUGCAUGUGUCUAAAGAUUUUAAGGUUGUAUUUAAUUUUUCUCUUUUUCAAAAAAAAAUAAUGAAUCAUAGGAGUUCAUUGUUGCAUUCCUACUGGUGCAUUAUUUUUAGUUGCUUAAAUUUAAAUUUGUGUUUGAAUUCAUUUGUUUGACUCUUUUAAACAAAUAGGAAACCCCCCUUCUUUUCCUUCCCUCUCUUUUCUCCCUUUCGGCCUGUCUCUCUUCCGGCCUAGCAGCGCAGUAGCCCAGUGCUAGCCCGCCUCCACCUCGGCCCACCUUUGCGCCGCACCCGCCGCCUCCCGAUGAUAGGCAGGGCCCGCCUGUCAUCUUCCUCCUCCGGCCUCCCGCACGCCCGACCCGACCGGGACUCAGGUUCAAGUCCGAGCCGGCCGCGCCAUCCCGCGCCUUGGGCCCACAUGCCUAGGUCCACUUUCCCUGGCUAUAAAAGUAGCUGCCGCCGUACCCCGAGACCUCAUCAAACUUAGCGCCCUGCCUCGAGCUCUCCAGCACCGCGACCCUAGCCCGAG
Molecule: long non-coding RNA, 44656 nt
Filed under: Setaria viridis
Lineage: Eukaryota; Viridiplantae; Streptophyta; Magnoliopsida; Poales; Poaceae
Description: long non-coding RNA (SVIR_LNC002605)
Source: RNAcentral